CUGAAAUCAAUGUAUUGGCUAGAUGAGUGGACGAUGGGGGGAGGAGCAAUGCCAAAACUUGAAAGCUUAAUUGUCAACCCAUGUGCUUACCUGAGAAAGCUUCCAGAAGAGCUGUGGUGCAUAAAGAGCUUGCGCAAAUUGGAUUUACAUUGGCCUCAGACAGAGUUGAGACAAAGACUACGGACUUUCGAGGAUAUGGAGUGGCGGUAUGACAUCCAGUUAUAUCCUUACGGAAUCUGAUGGAUUGAAUUGGGUGAGUUUUAAUCUUAUCUGAUAUCUCAUACUUUAGUUGCCCUUUUUUUUCCACUUUCUCAGUAGAUCUAUGUUUAUUGUAAAACCUUCAAAGGGUCAUACAAAUGAAAAAUUCAUUUAUGAUUCUUAUUUCCCUUCACUUGUGUAGGCAAAAUCGGAGAGGGAAACAACAGGGCGUCGUUUCAUUUAGCAGAUUUCAAGGAUUUGCUAUAACUGAUGCGAUGGUUGCAAUAUUGUCUACAAACUUGAAUUGUUGUACUCCUUUUUCUAUUUUUCGAAUUUGCUGGCAUGUAUGUAUGUAUGUAUGUGUGUAUAUUGUGUUUUAGUUACUGUUUUAUGCUUAGAAGUACUCCAUUUAAGCCGCGGACCUGCAGGUAUGGUUUCGCUAGCUUUGGACUUGUAUGACUUGUAUGGCUAGUUUUGGACUUAUCAUUGUCUAAUAGAGCAUAUUUGCAGUUAUCUAAAAAAAAAAUUGUUAUUUUUUUAAAUAUAAUUGCAAUCUACAUACAUAUACAUCUAUAAUGCUGGUCUAAUUGUUCUUGUUUCUAAUGUCAAAAUUAUAGCCACGGACAUUGCUGCAGAGAAACAAAGAAACCUCUGUAUUGUAAUAAGUAAGAACAGUGUAAUAGCAGAUUUUCAUUUGUGAUUCUUAUUUUCUUGUACAUGUUUAGGUAAAAUCAGAGAGGGAAACAUCACCUGCCAGACCUUCAAUAGUUCAAUUUCAACUGUGAUUCAGCAUCCAUCAAUUCUUUCUUUGUUUCUGCUGUCAAUUCAUAAGUUCUCAUAAGGCUGGGCAUCUUUUUGUUCAGUAGAUUUCGACGACGCCAUGGCUACAGUAUUGUCCACAAACUUGAAUCAUUUUUUUUUUUUAAUUUAGUGGGUAUGUAUAUUGUAUUAUUUAUUUGUUGUGUGCUCAGAAGUACUGCAAGUUAAGCCCUGGAAAAUGUGAGAAGAAAAAGAAAUUAAACUAGAUUACACGAUAUUAGCAUAUUGUUCUUUGCUUGAACCAAGUUCUUCUUUGCUUUAGCUUUUGUUAAGAUGCUGUCUUAACCUUCCUCCUUUUUCUUAUUGCUAGUUUGAUAUCUCUUAUCUUUUCUUGAACCAAGAUAUUUCCCUUAACUUACAAGUAAAGUUCAAAUGCUCUUUCUCUUUUCUCUUAACUUCGGUUUACUUAUGCAAUCAUUUUCAAUUCUACCAAAACCAUCCAUUUAUCAAUACCCAAAUUGUUCUACAUUCUAAUUUUGUUGUGCCUUCCAACUUAUAUUUGAUUGUGUUGCUUAUAUCGUCCGAAUAUCGAAGUCCUUGAUUACUCAAUAUAACAACAGCAGGUACUUCAAUUAUUAUUCAAAAGUUAUAUUUCUUUUUUCAUUUUCAUGUGUCAAAAUCAUCACCACGCAUGCAAUUUAUUUUGUAAAAAUCAUCACUCACAUACUCCUCGUUUCUAAAUUACUUUUUUUAAAAGACCAAAGUUGAAUUAUGUCAUUAUAAACUCUUGAACAGAACAAUCAUCAUCCUUCAUAUUAAUGUUCUUUGUCAGACAGAACUAACAAUCCUUUAUCAUUUGUUGAUGGAGAUUUUCUGCAUUGAUCAACUUAAUAGUUAUGAAAACCAUCCCCUAACCCCAAAGCAACAAAAGAAUCUACAACCAAUCAGCAUAAAAUUAUGUACAACUAUACAUUUCUUAUUAAUUUAUGCAUGUAGUGAUGUUUUGAAUCAUAUCAGAGAAUCGUUUAUAUUUAUUAAGACUCAAUGUACAUGCACUUUGUAGUAUCGCCCAGAGAUCUGCCAAGCAUUAGCUUAGAAAUCUACUCUGUCCAAAUUCAAAGAAAUUAGCCUGGGUCAUAUUUAAAUAAAUAAAUAUAAGGCUGUUCUCAUCACAUUUGAACUUAUUUACAAGCAUAGCUCUUGAUAUUUAAAUAUAUAUAUAUAGCUGUUAAAUAGAUAAUAAGCAUAGAUCUUCACCUUUAGAUGGUUGCAAUAUUGUCUACAAAGUUGAAUAGUUGCACUCCUUUUCUAUUUUUUAUUUGCUGGUACGGCUUCAAUUGGCCUAUCUCCUCUCAUAAUAUUUCUUUCAUUCAUAACUAUUGGAUAAAGAUUAGAAUUUGAUCAAUGAAAAAAAGAUAAACAAUUACCAAUUCUAAUUGAAAUGCCAUUGUAUUUUCUUAAAUUUCAAUUUCUGGUUUGAGUUUGAUUUAUGUGAUGGGAAGUAGAUGGCUGUGGUUCAUUUUGUGGUUGUGAUUCAGUUUGUUGUUGUGUUGGUGACAAUGGUAUGGUUGAUGAGGAAUGUUCUGAUAUUGUAGUUUGAGAAUGCUCUUGUUGAUGCAGAUUAUUUGUGUGUGUAGAAACAGAAGGUACCUGUUCACUGCUCUCUGUACUUGCUGAUUGAAGAUCUUCCAAGCUGCUGUCAGUUAAGGAUAAUGUGGAGAGAUUAUAAAUUUGUUGCUGGGAAAAGUUUGACACUGAUAAUUCAGAAUUUGAACUGUUCUCAGAUGAAUGAAAUACUUUGUUAGUUGAGUAAGGGAAUGUAUUUUCAUCAAAGAUAACAUGCCUUAGGAUAUGAAUUUUUCCUGAACUUGUUAAACACUUGUAACCCUUGUAAGAAGGAUUAUAGCCAAUGAAGAUGCAUUUGGUGGUGUGAAAAUCAAAUUUGUGUUUAUUAAAAUCUCUCAUAUAUGGAUAACAUAGGCAACCAAAACACUUAAGAAAAGAAUAAUCUGGUUUGUGUUUAUAAAGCUUUUCAUAAGGAGAUAAAAGCUUAAGAACAGGUGUUGGUAACCUAUUAAUAUGAUAUGCUGCUGUGUGAACAGCUUCCCACCAAAACUGAAAAGGGAGACUAGCUUGAGCUAAGAGUGUCAAUGCUAAUUCAAUUAUGUGUCUGUGUUUCCUCUCAACAAGACCAUUCUGGUGAUGAGUAUAAGGGCAUGAAUGUCUAAACUUGAUCCCAUUUUGAUUGAGAAAAUCACUGAAUACUCUAAACUCUCCCCCCAGAUCAGAUUGCAAUUCCUUAAUCUUGGUAUUAAACUGAUUUUCAACUUGUGCCUUGAACAAUUUGAAGACUUCAAAUGCUUGUGAUUUAAGCUUAAGUGGAUAGAUCCAGGUGUAUUUAGUGUAAUCAUCCACAAAACUAAUGUAAUACUUGUAUCCAUUUCUGGAUACAGUGGGUGAAGAUCCCCACAAAUCAGUAUGAAUAAGUUCUAAUACCCCUUUUGUUUUUGUUUCAGUUGCUGGAAAACUUUGCCUGUGAACUUUGCCUAACUGACAUGCCUCACACAAAGAAUUUGUACAAUCCACAAUAUCUUUAUGAGAGAAUUUAAAUUGCUUGCAAGACUUAACUAAAUGCAUCAGAAUCAUUGAACUUGGAUGACCAAAUUUUCUAUGUAACAAAGUCAUUACAUCAGAUUUGGUUUUGCAUUUAUUAGAAACAUAAUGAUAACAAGCUUUAGAAGGACUAUCAAAGCUUUGAAAGCUAGACAACAUUGAGAUAGGUUUAUUUAGAUCCAUUUUUGGGAUCCAUUUUCUGUAAUUCUCUUUCCAUCUUGUAUUUUCUUCGUAUUUUAAUAAAUUUCCAUUUUGCCCCUAGUUCAAUUAUGAGUGGCUAAUUUUCUUUCAAGUUUGGGUUGAAGUUGAAGUCUCAACAUGUGUCAUGGGCUUUAUUUGGUAAAUUUAUUUUCUCUUCCCUUCUAGUUUUUGUGGAUGUUUUGACUUCUCGUCGACAAAUAAUAAUAGUCUUGUCUAGAUACCGCUUUGGUUAUACCGGCUCUCUAGUAUAAGGUUAUUAUUAUUUGGCACGAUAAGCCCUUAGCACCAUAUUGAUUUGAGCGUGGUUCAUGAGGUGUGGAUUCCCCCCUCAUGAUUUAAUUGGCAUUAAUAAGGAUUAUUUAGCCCAUGAUGCAUGUUGAUACGGAUCCAGAUACCCAAGUACGUCAUUUCAAUAGAAUUCUCUUCAAUUUAUUCUCGCCAUUUCAAUUCCAAUUUCAGAAUUUAUUCUUGCCAUUUUAAUUUAAGUUUUAGCAUAUUCCAAAUCAUUUCCACCACAGAUCCAAUCAACCAUUUGCAAAAUUAAUUCUAUACACAAUUAAAAUCCACCUCCUCGUGGGAUCGACACUCGUCACUAUUGAUCUAUACUACAAUAGAUUCGUGCGCUUGCGAGUACAUUAAAAUUUGCACAACACUUCCCACCAAAACUGAAAAGGGAGAUUAGCUUGAGCUAAUAGUGUCAAUGCUAAUUCAAUUAUGUGUCUAUGUUUCCUCUCAACAAGACCAUUCUGGUGAUGAGUAUAAGGGCAUGAAUGUCUAAACUUGAUCCCAUUUUGAUUGAGAAAAUCACUGAAUACUCUAAACUCUCCCCCCAGAUCAGAUUGCAAUUCCUUAAUCUUGGUAUUAAACUGAUUUUCAACUUGUGCCUUGAACAAUUUGAAGACUUCAAAUGCUUGUGAUUUAAGCUUAAGUGGAUAGAUCCAGGUGUAUCUAGUGCAGUCAUCCACAAAACUAAUGUAAUACUUGUAUCCAUUUCUGGAUACAGUGGGUGAGGGUCCCCACAAAUCAGUAUGAAUCAGUUCUAAUACUCCUUUUGUUUUUGUUUCAGAAGCUGGAAAACUUUGCCUGUGAACUUUGCCUAACUGACAUGCUUCACACAAAGAAUUUGUACAAUCCACAAUAUCUUUAUGAGAGAAUUUAAAUUGCUUGCAAGACUUANNNNNNNNNNNNNNNNNNNNNNNNNNNNNNNNNNNNNNNNNNNNNNNNNNNNNNNNNNNNNNNNNNNNNNNNNNNNNNNNNNNNNNNNNNNNNNNNNNUCAUUACAUCAGAUUUGGUUUUGCAUUUAUUGGAAACAGAAUGAUAACAAGCUUUAGAAGAACUAUCAAAGCUUUGAAAGCUAGACAACAUUGAGAUAGGUUUAUUUAGCUUGGUAUGAAGAUGGGAUGAAGAAAAUGAAGAAUAGGGAUUAGAACUCAACAGCAGCUUGUAUAGACCUUUUUCAGCAAGUCCCUGCAGCAGAACUUGUCCCUUCAUGUCCUUCACAAAACAAACAUUCCCACAAAAUUCAACAGUUAUAGGGUUAUCAGAUGUCAGUUUAGAAAUGCUUAGUAGAUUUUUGGUAAUUGAUGGAACAAGUAAUAUAUCCUUAAGUACUAUUCUGGAAUGUGCAGAUAAGGAAUUUGAUGCUCUUUGUGACAGAAAUCCAAAACCAACGUGAGUGAUAGACAAACCUUCACCAUUACCAAUUAUGAGCUGAUCAGUACCUUUAAACUCCUCACUGAUCUGCAAGUUCUCCAUGUUGUUGGUCAGAUGGUGAGUUGCCCCACUAUCCAAGUACCAUCCAUCAUCAGCAACUCCUUCAAAGUUAGCCAUAAAUGCUGCUCCAGGAGUACAAGCAUCAAAACCAGAAUAAUAGCUACUGCCAGACAUAGGAUUAUAAGCUGAAGACAUAUAAUUGAAGUUCUCAUAAUCUUCAAAGUUUGGAUUUGGAGCAGAACCAUCAAAAUUUGACAGAUAUGCUGAUCUGGGUGCUUUUCCUUUUCCAAAACCCCUUGGCAUUGGCACAUAAUCUUCAACAAAUCUAUGCCAACAGAUAUCAGUAGUAUGACCAGAUUUGAAACAAAUCUGACAUAUUGAGUCCACUGGAUUGUUAUUGAAAGCUCCUUAUGAUCCAUUCUUGAUAACAGAUGGUGAACUCCUUGGUGCUAAAGGAUUAUUACCAUUAAAAGGAUUACCAACAGGAUAUCCUCUACCAAAGCCACCUCUAAAACCUCCAUUAAACAUUCUUGGAGAAAGAUUCAUAUUUCCUCUACCAGAGAAAACAUUCCUACCACCAUAAUAACCUCCUCUCCUAAAAUUUCCUCUAGGCUGUGCAUAAUAAACCGUAUGAUGAAAUGAAUUAGUAUAGGCAUUAGUAUAUGCAUAGUUAGCAUUGAACAUACUCUUAUCAUCCUGAUCUUGUUCCAACCUAGUUUCAUGAGUAAGCAAUAACGCAUAAGCAUCAUCAAAUUCCAUGCGUGAACUAGUUAUGAAGGUAGUAAUAUCACGGUAUCCUGAUCCUAAUCCAUUGAGUAUGGUUAGCAUUAGAGAUUCCUUUUUAAGAGUGUUCAGCUCAUAUCUCAGCUGAAGAACUCGAGCUUCAGAUUGAACUCCAAACUUAUUUUCUAAUGUUUUCCAUACACCAGAUGAACUUUCACAGUUAAUAACAAGACUAAGGAUACCUUCACUUAAUGUUGACAGCAGCCAACUAUGUUGUUACUUGAAUAAGAAAAGAAAACAAAGUUUACAAAUGGAAAUGAAAGCCACGUGAAUUGUCAAGAGAACUUCACUCAAUUCAUUAACUGAAAACAUUACACUUUAAAGCUUAAAUAGCACACCAAAGCCAAAUAACAACCCACUAGAAUCAUGGUCCAAAGAUUGUGCCACGAUCACAGCAAGAAUCAACAAAAUAAAUAACCAACACCAGAAAAAUAGGAAAAGUUUGAAACAUUCAACAGAAGCAACUUCUAUGACUCCACAUCAGCAGUCCUAAACACAUCUUCUAACACUCCUCCUUGCUUUAGGAGCUGCAAACACCAAGUUUUGUUAUGAAAAACUCAAACUUGCUAACCGGCAGUGGCUUGGUGAAAACAUCUGCAACCUGAUCUUCUGUUUUGCAGUAGACAAGACUAACAACUCCAUUUUUCUGCACUUCUCUUAAGAAGAAUAAUUUAAUAUUAAAGUGCUUAGUUUUCCCGUGAAACACAGGAUUUUGAGAGAUUGCAAUAGCAGCUUGGUUGUCAACUAGAAUCUCUGUACUUUCCUCCUGCUCCAAGUUAAGAUCAUGAUAACUCUAUAAAAUGAGAGUUAUUAUGACAAUUCUAGACUUAAAUCAAGAUCACUUAGAGAGUAAAUGAUGUGUUUUUAUUGCAUUUUUGUUACAUUUUGCAUAAACAUUCAUUUUAGUUUAGUCUUAAUAAGUUUUGCUUGAUUUAAAGUAAUUCGUGCUCAAAUUGUGUGCAGAAUUGUAGGUUUCCAGAAGCUUAUAAUUCAUGGAAGAAAUGCUGAUGCAAUAGGCUGGCAAAAAAGAGGAAGAACAUGACUAUAAAAGAAUUGAAACAAAUCUGGAACAGUACAGUUGCUGUAGCCGUUGCUGUAGCAAUCCUGGAACAACGACAGAGAAAAUUCCGUGCGGGAUACUUACAGAAUUGCGAUCUGCAGUUUCCUAAUCUGACUUAUGCGUGCCCUAGGCUUCCGUUUACCUUAAUUUUCAACUAUAAAAGAAGCACACAUCAUAAGGAAAAGAGAGAGCCGUCACCCAAGGAGAAAAACACAAAGAAACAAAAGAAAAACAAGAUUCAAGAGAAAGAUUAAGGGCUGCACAAGAGGAGAAUUUGCAUAAAUCAAUUGGGAGCUCAAUCAUUCUUAUUCUUCUCUUGUUUUCAUGUUUUCUAUUUAUUCAUGGGGAUGUGUUUCAUGGCUGAAACUUUGUUCUUUAUUUUUCUUUUGCAAAUCAUGAACUAAAUUUAUUUAUAGUUGAGUGAUAAACAAUCUUGAUGGUUUAUUGACUGGAAAUAUGUGUUGCUGCAUGUUUGCUGUAGCAGUUUGUUUUGAUAGUAUUUAUUUUAUUCGUUAUUUCGGUUGAUCACCCAUUUAAUGAUAAUAGAUAAUGAAGAGUCGUAAAAGGGCCUAUCUUAGUGGAACAUAUCAGAACAAUACUUGAUCUUAAAUUGAGUUUCCCGGAUUGAGUUUUACUUGAGUCCCAAAAGGGCCAUACUUGAUUUAAGAUUAAUGAUGAACUAGACAUAAGGAUUCACCUUGUAGGGUAAAUAGAACCUAAGCGUGUAAUGCUAUAUCUUAUGUUGGCAUAACAACUGAUCACUGUUAGGUUGCAUAUAAAUAUAAGAUAUCCAACAUGUGACAGCUGAGGAUACAUAAGCUGAUCCAUCUUGGCUUCUUCAUAAUUUUUAGGUUCACACACAGCAACAUUGCAUCUUUGGUAAACAUCUGAAAGUGGUCUUGUGCCCCUAAUAGGUCUGUCAUCCACCGUUUCAUUUCCCAAUCUUCAAUGCUUUGAUCUGCUGUGUCCACAACAGGAAACUUGAGUUUUGGCUUUUUUGAGGUUGAAUCCAUCUUCUUUGCAUCAUCCCAAUUCCACUCUUCAUCUUCCAUAAAGUGCACAUCCCUGCUUAUAAUAAUUUUUCCAGUUUGUGGCUGGAAAACUUUAUAAGCUUUUGCAACAGGAAUUUCAUAGUCUUCUUCCACUGCUUCCCAAAGAUCCAAAGCUUCCAAGUAUGUCUCCAUACGUACUGCCCAAAGCUGGUAGUUGUUUCCGUCAAACACCGUCGGAGCAAUUGCGGAGAAACUAGCUUCGGCUUCCAUGACUUGACAAAUUCAAACAUAGAUCCCUUAAGAAGAAAGCUCUGAUACCAGAUGUUGUUACUUGAAUAAGAAAAGAAAACAAAGUUUACAAAUGGAAAUGAAAGCCACGUGAAUUGUCAAGAGAACUUCACUCAAUUCAUUAACUGAAAACAUUACACUUUAAAGCUUAAAUAACACACCAAAGCCAAAUAACAACCCACUAGAAUCAUGGUCCAAAGAUUGUGCCACGAUCACAGCAACUAAGAAGAAUUUGAUCAUGUGAUCUCCAGAUCUGAUACUCAGGAUUCUCAAUUUGUUGUGUAGAUCCAUCAACUCUAGCUAACAAAAUAUUUUCUUCAGGUGCUGAUUUGAUUCCAGUUAUGAAGUCUUCCAGUCGAUUACCUCUAAUCGAAGCUAGAACUUGUGAACGCUAGAGAAGGUAGUUUGAUCGAUCUAGUUUAAUUGGAUUCGUGAAAGAGAAAUUGAUUUGAGUGUGUUGAUUNNNNNNNNNNNNNNNNNNNNNNNNNNNNNNNNNNNNNNNNNNNNNNNNNNNNNNNNNNNNNNNNNNNNNNNNNNNNNNNNNNNNNNNNNNNNNNNNNNNNNNNNNNNNNNNNNNNNNNNNNNNNNNNNNNNNNNNNNNNNNNNNNNNNNNNNNNNNNNNNNNNNNNNNNNNNNNNNNNNNNNNNNNNNNNNNNNNNNNNNNNNNNNNNNNNNNNNNNNNNNNNNNNNNNNNNNNNNNNNNNNNNNNNNNNNNNNNNNNNNNNNNNNNNNNNNNNNNNNNNNNNNNNNNNNNNNNNNNNNNNNNNNNNNNNNNNNNNNNNNNNNNNNNNNNNNNNNNNNNNNNNNNNNNNNNNNNNNNNNNNNNNNNNNNNNNNNNNNNNNNNNNNNNNNNNNNNNNNNNNNNNNNNNNNNNNNNNNNNNNNNNNNNNNNNNNNNNNNNNNNNNNNNNNNNNNNNNNNNNNNNNNNNNNNNNNNNNNNNNNNNNNNNNNNNNNNNNNNNNNNNNNNNNNNNNNNNNNNNNNNNNNNNNNNNNNNNNNNNNNNNNNNNNNNNNNNNNNNNNNNNNNNNNNNNNNNNNNNNNNNNNNNNNNNNNNNNNNNNNNNNNNNNNNNNNNNNNNNNNNNNNNNNNNNNNNNNNNNNNNNNNNNNNNNNNNNNNNNNNNNNNNNNNNNNNNNNNNNNNNNNNNNNNNNNNNNNNNNNNNNNNNNNNNNNNNNNNNNNNNNNNNNNNNNNNNNNNNNNNNNNNNNNNNNNNNNNNNNNNNNNNNNNNNNNNNNNNNNNNNNNNNNNNNNNNNNNNNNNNNNNNNNNNNNNNNNNNNNNNNNNNNNNNNNNNNNNNNNNNNNNNNNNNNNNNNNNNNNNNNNNNNNNNNNNNNNNNNNNNNNNNNNNNNNNNNNNNNNNNNNNNNNNNNNNNNNNNNNNNNNNNNNNNNNNNNNNNNNNNNNNNNNNNNNNNNNNNNNNNNNNNNNNNNNNNNNNNNNNNNNNNNNNNNNNNNNNNNNNNNNNNNNNNNNNNNNNNNNNNNNNNNNNNNNNNNNNNNNNNNNNNNNNNNNNNNNNNNNNNNNNNNNNNNNNNNNNNNNNNNNNNNNNNNNNNNNNNNNNNNNNNNNNNNNNNNNNNNNNNNNNNNNNNNNNNNNNNNNNNNNNNNNNNNNNNNNNNNNNNNNNNNNNNNNNNNNNNNNNNNNNNNNNNNNNNNNNNNNNNNNNNNNNNNNNNNNNNNNNNNNNNNNNNNNNNNNNNNNNNNNNNNNNNNNNNNNNNNNNNNNNNNNNNNNNNNNNNNNNNNNNNNNNNNNNNNNNNNNNNNNNNNNNNNNNNNNNNNNNNNNNNNNNNNNNNNNNNNNNNNNNNNNNNNNNNNAUAUAUAUAUAGCUGUUAAAUAGAUAAUAAGCAUAGAUCUUCACCUUUAGAUGGUUGCAAUAUUGUCUACAAAGUUGAAUAGUUGCACUCCUUUUCUAUUUUUUAUUUGCUGGUACGGCUUCAAUUGGCCUAUCUCCUCUCAUAAUAUUUCUUUCAUUCAUAACUAUUGGAUAAAGAUUAGAAUUUGAUCAAUGAAAAAAAGAUAAACAAUUACCAAUUCUAAUUGAAAUGCCAUUGUAUUUUCUUAAACAUUCCAAAUAUCAUAAUUUUUUUUCCCUCUUACUUAUUUCUGAAGUUAUUUUCUUCCUGUUUCUAAUGUUUCUCUAAUUCUUAAUCCCUUAAUGAUGAGGCGAGAAAGAUUACGAAAGUGAAACUGAUUAAAACUAAAUAUAUAAAUAUUAGAAUCCAAACGUUCCGUGCCCAAAUCCUGUUAAAUAUGAAAUAUACAAAAUUAACAAGUUGAUCAUCAUGUAAAAAUCUUAUUUAACUCCUAGUUUCAUUACAAAAUCGUUCACAAGUUAAUUGAUAUCCGUAGUAGGUGAUAAAAGCUCAAGCUUUUUUAAUAAGGAAAGCUCAAAAGAAUUUCAUAAGAAAUCACAUACCAAUGAAAAUCAAUGCAGGGAAACAAUUGAGCUAUUUUCCUAGAGGGUAUAGCGCUGAUGACAAUCAGAAGAAUCACUUAAUUAACGUAAUGAAAUAGCAACGUAGUUUAGAUCUACAAUGCCACUUGCCACAUGAAAAUGUAUAUAAUCAUAAUUAAUUAGGGAAAAGGACGUUGUAAUGAUCUGAGUGAGUUGUGCAUCAAUGUGGUUGUGAUCAGGUGACGCUCUUCUUUAAUAGUCAAUUCAGCACUUGAGCUACGUUCUCUUAUCCUUUUUUUUUUUUUCACCCACAAUUACUUCACUGAGAUUGGAUCAAUAAUGCCUCAGCGAAUUCAUUAACAGGAAGACUGUAGGAACUGUAAGGUAAAGAAAUUUAUACUAAUACGCUGCAACGGAGAAACAAAUAAAGAUCCCUCUAUAUUCUCAAAAAAGAACUAACACUAUCUUACAUUCAACUGUUGAUGCAACCAUUGGAGUUACAUCAAUAAUUGGAGUAGUCCAGAUAGGAUUGCUAAUGCUCGAAACAAGUGGCUCUUAGAAAGAAUAGACAAUGACCAGUAAUGAACAUAACUCAAUGGGUCCACUUCAAAAAGCAAUUGUUCAAUUUCCAUCAACUUGUUUAAUAGGGUAGAUGUGGGAUGGAGAUUUCUAAAGAUUUUAAAUAAACCUUUAGGUUAAAAAGAUUUUAAAAUUAACAAAAUGUCUUUCUAUUAAUAAUAUUAAAAUUAUUUUUUUAUAAUAUUCAAAAUAAUUUAAACUUUACUUUAUUUAUUGCAAUAUUAUGUGUCUAUUUAUUAUUAAAAUUACUUUAAUAUGAUCAAAUAUAUAUGUAUAAUAAAUUGUAAAAUACAAAAAUAUUUUCUUGCUUGUCAACAAAUAUUUUUUUCCCCGAAAGCCAAAAUAAAAUUAUGUCAAUAUCAAUUCUUUAACAUAACAACCUUAGCUUUCUGAAGUCUAAUACUACUCUUUCCAUGCCCAAAAAUUCAAAAAAUUUUAAUUAAUCCUGUUACUGGGCUUGCGGCAGUUUCGCUAUUGAAGGCAAUUUGAUAUUAAAAUAUUUUUUAAUGAAAAAUUCUUUAAAUUAAACAAAUAAUUUAUCAUGAUUGGUCCUACGAUAAGCAGAUACACAAUCACUCUAAAUUGUAGUUUUGCAUCAUAUAUAUAUUUCGUAUAUUAACAAAAUUGAGGCUAAAUAAAUUUUGUCAAAUGAAAUUAACAAGAUAUUAAAUCAAAUAAAAUAUCUACAUGCCUCAAUAAAAUAUAUAAAUGAUAUGCCCAUAAGAUUCAAUAAAUGAUGGAUUAUUUUAAAAUUUAAAAUUCUGAAAAAUCGCCAAAAUUGAAAGGAUUUUGGACUAAAAUGACUGCUGUACCGUACAUCCGCCUUGGCCGUACAGCAGAAUAAUGCCUCAGUGAAUUCAUUAACAGGAAGACUGUAUGAACUGUAAGGUAAAGAAAUUUAUACUAAUACGCUGCAACGGAGAGACAAAUAAAGAAAUUCUCAAAAAAGAACUAACACUAUCUUACAUUCAACUGUUGAUGCAACCAUUGGAGUUACAUCAAUAAUUGGAGUAGUCCAGAUAGGAUUGCUAAUGCUCGAAACAAGUGGCUCUUAGAAAGAAUAGACAAUGACCAGUAAUGAACAUAACUCAAUGGGUCCACUUCAAAAAGCAAUUGUUCAAUUUCCAUCAACUUGUUUAAUAGGGUAGAUGUGGGAUGGAGAUUUCUAAAGAUUUUAAAUAAACCUUUAGGUUAAAAAGAUUUUAAAAUUAACAAAAUGUCUUUCUAUUAAUAAUAUUAAAAUUAUUUUUUUAUAAUAUUCAAAAUAAUUUAAACUUUACUUUAUUUAUUGCAAUAUUAUGUGUCUAUUUAUUAUUAAAAUUACUUUAAUAUGAUCAAAUAUAUAUGUAUAAUAAAUUGUAAAAUACAAAAAUAUUUUCUUGCUUGUCAACAAAUAUUUUUUUCCUCCAAAGCCAAAAUAAAAUUAUGUCAAUAUCAAUUCUUUAACAUAACAACCUUAGCUUUCUGAAGUCUAAUACUACUCUUUCCAUGCCCAAAAAUUCAAAAAAUUUUAAUUAAUCCUGUUACUGGGCUUGCGGCAGUUUCGCUAUUGAAGGCAAUUUGAUAUUAAAAUAUUUUUUAAUGAAAAAUUCUUUAAAUUAAAAAAGAAACAAUCGAUUUAACCACCAUCAAUCAUGUCGUGGUAGUAAUUAAAAUAAGAUAAAGGUUGGAUAUCUAUUGGAUACCUCUUCUUUUCAAAAGGCAAGCGUCUUGGACUUUUCGCUAAAUGAACGCGUAUCAGUUUUUUGAGUUAAAAAUGAGCAAUAAUGCCGUAUUUGUGGAAUUUAGCCACUUCGCCAGUUCCUUGGCAUCUUCCUUUCAAAUUCUCCCAUGGCGUUUAAUUUUACACCAGUAACCACUUUGAGAUAGAACCAAUCCUUUUAAUAUUUCUUGGAGCAAAAAACAAUACCUCUGGGUGCUACAGAGAGAAGGAGAUAUGCUGGACGUCCACCUCCGACUGUUUUGUGAGAGGUUGAAAAGGGUGUUAGCAGGUGAAGAAGGCAUGUUAACGUGGCCUGAUUCAACAAAUUUAACUCCACGUUUUCAAAACCUUCUUACGGAGUCCGAAAUUAUUGCUACUACUCUGUUGGGAAACUAUGAAGCUGACAUGGCUCGUCGUGUGAUUCAACGCAUCCUUAGAGACCUACCCGAUAAAAACGAAAUAGCUUUGUAUUUUCUGCAACUGUUGGACUUAGAAGAAAGCGAUGAAGACAGCGAGGAAGACAUUUUGGAAAUUCUGGAGGACAUCAAUCACCAUGUCAAUGAAUCUGAGGAAGCCAUUGACUCAUUCUUUAUCAACAUCAUGCAUCAGCAGAACAGUGAAAACGAAAGUGAAAGCAGUACUUGUAUGGCUAUUCUUGUUGGACUCCACAGUAAAAUCAUUGCUAUUAGAAAUCGGAUGCAACAACUUCCACCCGGCAACAAUGGUUUUGAUAUCAGUGAACAAAGGGAAAAACUCAUUCACUUAUUGACUGACGGACAACCUCGGCUUGAUAUCAAUGAAUUUGAAAGGGGCAGAGAGGAGUUGUUUGAUUUAUUGAUUGAAGGACAUCCUCGGCUUGCAGUGGGGCAGAGAGGAGUUGUUUGAUUUUGUUUGAUUUAUUGAUUGAAGGACAUCCUCGGCUUGCAGUGGUUGCAAUUGCCGACAGCAGUGGCUUCGAUAAGACUGCUUUUGCUGCUGAUACUUAUAACAAUAAUCAUGUCAAGUUCUAUUUUGACUGUCUUGCUUGGGUCAGGGUUUCUGUAUUCUACCAUUUUGGCAAGAUAUUGGAUGACAUAAUCAAGUCUGUUAUGCCUCCAUCUCGGGUUAGUGUAAUUAUCGGGGAAGAUUAUCAAUUGAAGAAAUCUAUUCUUCGAGAUUACCUAACAAACAGGAAGUACUUUAUUGUGCUUGAUGAUGUCUUCGAUGACAGUGAGAUAUGGAGUGAUCUUGAAGAAGUUCUUCCUGAUAAUCAGAAUGGAAGCAGAGUAUUGAUAUUGGUCACUGAUCCACACCUCCUUACGCUGUCGGAAAUGGAAAACGGAGAGAAGAUUCGGCUUGAUUCGGUGCUCAUUGGAGGACCAUUGAUCAGAUUAAAGCAUGAAGCCUGGCAAUUUUUCAUCCUACACUAUGGAAGUAUGCCCUUAGAAAAUUAUCUUCAAGGCGAAACGAUUCCGACAAUUUUGAGUCGAAUUUGUUCUGUGUUGGAGUUACCUUUUCACUUGAAAAUCUGCUGCAUUUAUUUGUGUGUUUUCCCUCCAAGUAUUGAGAUAUCUACUAGGCAAUUAUAUCAGUUGUGGGAAGCUGAAGGUUUCAUACCAUACAACAGUGAGGAAACUGCAGAACAUCACUUAAAAGAACUAAUCCGUCGCGGCUUCAUUCAAGUGAGUAAGAGAAGAGCCGGAGGCACAAUUAAAUCGUGUUAUUUUCCAAGUAUUGUAGAUACUUCAUUGUUUUUGGUGGCAGAGAAGACGGAAUUUGUCUGGUCGCCUGACAUGGUAGAGGAACCAAUGGCAAAUGUUAAACGGUGCUUCAUUUUGAAAGAUCUGAUUGACUUCUUUCCUUCAGAAUAUUCUGACAUGUAUCUCCAAUCUUUUCUCAAUCACAGUUCAGAAAGCGAUCGUCUCGCUCGGAUAGAUUGCGAGAAUUUUUGUAAAAAGUUCAAAUACCUUCGGGUAUUGGACUUGGGUUCUGCAGUUCUCGACCAAUUUCCACCCGGAUUAGAAAAUUUAUUCCUUUUGAAGUAUUUGAAAUUGAAUAUCCCUUCGCUCAAAUGCCUUCCUUCGCAGCUAUGCACCCUUUUAAACCUUCAAACACUACAAAUGCCAUCUAGCUACAUAGAUCAGUCACCAGAGGAUAUUUGGAUGAUGCAAAAACUCAUGCAACUAAACUUCGGUUCCAUCACUCUGCCUGCACCUCCAACAAAUUAUUCCAGCUCUUUGAAGAAUCUUAUUUUCAUAUCAGCCUUACACCCUAUUAGUUGCACUCCAGAUAUAUUGGGCAGAUUACCAAAUAUUCAAACUCUUAGAAUAUCUGGAGAUUUGAGUUAUGAUCAAUCUAGGGUUUCCAAAAGCCUAUGCGAACUACAAAAACUUGAAUGGUUGAAGCUGGUGAAUGAAAGCAAGCCCUCACGAAUGGUCCUGUCUGAAUACCAGUUUCCUCCAAGUCUGACCCAUCUGAGCUUAUCAAAUACUGAGCUAAAGGAGGAUCCCAUGCCAACGCUAGAAAAGCUUCCAUACGUUCAAGUGCUGAAACUGAAGCAGAACUCCUAUUUAGGAAGAAAGCUGGCCUGCGUUGGCUCUGGUGGCUUUCCGGAACUUAAGGUUUUGCACCUGAAAUCAAUGUAUUGGCUAGAUGAGUGGACGAUGGGGGCUGGAGCAAUUCCAAAACUUGAAAGCUUAAUUGUCGACCCAUGUGCUUACUUGAGAAAGCUUCCAGAAGAGCUGUGGUGCAUACAGAGCUUGCGCAAAUUGGAUUUACAUUGGCCUCAGACAGAGUUGAGACAAAGACUACGGACUUUCGAGGAUAUGGAGUGGCGGUAUGACAUCCAGUUAUAUCCUUAUGGAAUCUGAUGGAUUGAAUUGGGUGAGUUUUAAUCUUAUCAGACAACUCAUUCUUUUAUAUGCAAUUUUUUUUUAUGUUUAUCGUAAAACCUACAAGGAGGUCAUAAAAAUGCCAAACUAAUUGAGGUUGCUUCUGAUGUCAAAAUUAUGUCUCAACAUAGACUCAGUUUGACUGGCAAAACAGAGUGGGAUAGCCACACAUUGCAGCAGAGAAACAAAGAAAGAUCCCUUUAUAUAUAUCUAAUAAGAACUGUAAAAGCAGAUUUUAAUUUGUGAUUCUUAUUUCCCUUUACUUAUGUAGGCAAAACUGGAGAGGGAAACAACACCAGCCGGACUUUCAAUUUCAUGAGACGGGGCAUUGUUCUAUUUAGCAGAUUUCAAGGAUUUGCUUUAAUAUGCCAUGGUUGCAAUAUUGUCUAGAAACUUGAAUAGUUGCACUCCUUUUUCUAUUUUGAAUUUGCUGGUAUGUUUGUAGGGGCGUGUGCGUGUGUGUUGAGUUUUGAUUAAUGUAUUAUGCUUCGAUGUACUCCAUUUAAGCCCCGGACUUGCCGGUAUGGUUUGGAUAGCUUUGGAUUUGCAUGGUUUGCUAGUUAGAGAAAUGGUUUGCUAGUUAUAGAAAUAUCAAUCUUACUAGGAAAACUACCUCAUGCGUGUACGUUUCUGGCUUCAUUUUAGUUGCUGAUUGCACCUUCAAUUACAUUAGAGUAUAUGGAGUAAAAAAAAAAAGUUAAAUUAUUGGCUGAUUUUUAAGAUACUUUCAAGUUUGGCCCAUACCUCAAUUGUCAGAAAGUAUAUGGAGUAAAAAAAAAAAGGUUGGGUGUAAAUAAGUGAUAUACAGAUGUAAGGCUUCUUUGAUCACAUUUGAAGUUAAUUACAAGCAUAUCUCUUGAUAUUUAAGUAAAUAAAAAAAAUAGAAUAUUGGCUGUUGAAUAGAUAAUAAGCAUAGAUCUUGACUUUUGAAUUAAUUACAAAAAUUUUAGUGAACAGAAGAAAUCCAUUUGUUCCACCGAUUACAUUGAGGAUUUUAAUGAAUCCCAAUCUUAGGUAACAUGCUAAUGCUAACAGUAAUGGCAAGAUAUCAAAUGUCGGAGAUAAGAGACUAUUAGCUUUAAGCGAACCAACAGAGAUUGACAAGUUAGAAAUAACUUGCUAAGUUGAGAAAUACGCCUGACAAAUAAUAUGAUUUUCCCAAAUAAAUUAGGUUUUAAUUUAACAAGUUUUCAUUUACAAAUGCAUUUUAAUCCAAUGAUUUAUCACAAUGUCCCACCAAACUGAACAAAGAAAGAAAGAUAUAAUACAAUUACAAGUUUCCUAAUUAAGCUAUAUGAUUAUGAAUUAAAGCGAAUACUAUUGACUUGACGAACCACUUUUUGUGUUUCUUUAUAAGUACGUAUAUGUACCAACAAAAUUCUUCUUAAAACAAAAAAAAAAUUCUCUCUUUAAAUUUGUAAAUAUUCAUUUACCAAUAAAUUAAUAAAUUAUUCAUUCAAUAAUAAAUAAAUACUCCUCUAAAAUAAUAUCUUUUCGUAGUCCUAAUAAUAUUAUUUUAUAGAUACUUUCUACAUUUAUUGUGCAAUAAUUAAAAAAAUUUAUAUUUUUUAAAAAUAUAAUUACAAUCCAGAUACAUAUAUAUUUAUAAUACAACUCUGAAAUAUAUCAAGACUAGUUAGAAAAUCUACUUCCACUAAUAAUAUUAUUAAGGAGAAAUUAGCCCUAUUCCACGUUUUUACAAUUUGAUUUAAUAUAAAUUUUGUUCAAGAAAUUUAUCUUUUUUAAGAAAAUAUUUGAUUAACAAAUUAUUAUUAUUAUAGCGAAAAUAAAAAAGCAGCGGCAGAAGAAGGCUCUAACAACAAAAUGAAACAUUUACAUUUUUCAUUUCCCAAAACCCUUCGCUCUCUCACUCAGGACACUCACUGAUGCGCAAGCAAUGGCUCGCACUGCCAUCCUCUGCCUCCGCUGGUCAUUACCGGCCAUCGUUGCUCUUCGCCGCUCUCUCUCUGCGGCCGUCCCUGCACUCUCCGCAUCCACUCCUCUCGUAAACCCCUCCAUUUCAUCGGCAUCGUCAUCAGUAAUCUCCUCCUCCUCCUCCUCCAUCAUCCAAUCUCGACUGUGGUUUAUCAACUUCAGGUACAUGUACCUUGAUGUAUGUACCAUCUAAUGCCCUAAAGCAAUUCUAUUAAUCGAUUCAAACAAAAAAAAAUUAUAAUAUAAAAUGGCAAGCUCUCUUUAUUAGAAGAGAAAAUAAAAAUCAAGAAUUUAAGCAUGUCAUUCCUUAAAUCAUUUCCAUCUCUCUCGUCAGUGCAGUUUUACUUACAGGGUCAGGUGUUCUUAAUAAGAUAUUUUCCAAUUGUAAAACUGCAUUUAAGACCAAGUUGAAGUAUCUACUAAUUGUCUCCCCCAAACAUAGAAAUCUACUAUGAAUUGUUCUGUUUUUUUACAUGAUGGGCAAGUAUAUGUAGAAACAUGCAUACUUGUUCCUCAACAGAGACUAUACCAUCAGCCUUCAACCCCCAUUUAUACGAAGUAGCUCACAUAAUAAUUCGAAUGUUCUCUUAUCCAUCAUAGUUGAUUCACAUAUUCUAUGUCACUGCCUAAGAUAAUUUCUAUAUAAAUGAGGCGUGUUGCAUGCCUAAUGAAUGUGCGAUUUGCAACUGUAUAUUUUUUGUUUUGUCGACUUUUGUGUUGCCAAAGUACAGCAGCCAAUACACACAAGCACAAUUGUUGUAAACGGAACUCGUGUAUAAGAGAGAACAAUGUAAUUUCUCUUUCAUCCAUAUCCAGUCAUUGAAGGUAUACGGUGUGAGCAUAUCAUAUGAAUAUUAAAGUAAGUGAAGUAAAUAUCAACAUAAAGAAUUAUGAUAACUGGACAGAUAAAGAACUCAUUGAGAUACAUUUCAUGUGAACAAGUUAUUAGCUCAGUUCCAAGAAACUUAUAAAGCAACAGUUUUCUUUUCAAAAUAUUUAAGUCUUAUCAACAUAAGAGACAAAGUUUAAUUAUUGUAUUCUUAAAAGCAUAAUGAUAAAGUUCUAUUUAAUAGCUAGAAAUAAAGUAAAUUCACUAUAGACAAGAACAAAUUUCUAGAAUUGCUACCUUUUUUUUCAAAUAAAAGAAAUUCACUAAAGAACAAAAUGACGAGAUCCAACUUUAACCAAAAAGCAAAUCACAUAAGCUAACUAAGAAUCUGCACCAUAUGGCUAGAAAUUGACAGCUGGGUUUGCUAGCUUAUUAACAAUGCCAUUACCGUAUCCCAAAAAAUAAAAGAAAUUCUACAUAAAUGUCUCUUUUCAAUUCAUCCCGAGUUUUAGUCAAAACCCAAAAAAUUUCCUUCAUGAAGCUACUCUUUCCAAUGAACAAAUCCAUAAAAUAGUUCACUCAACACAAACAAUUAACCCUUUCCAAAAAAAAAAACACAAACAAUUAACAAAAUUGAUUUAUAACAUGAAAAUUAAAAUAGACAAUAAGAAACACUCAACUGCCAUAUAAAACAUGAAAAUUUCAUCCUAUUAAAUAAUUACAACAAAUAAAUAAACAAAUAAACUUAAUUGAAUUUUUUAGUCAAGAUUUGAGGAGAUUCACUGCAUGAACAAAGGAGAUGGAGAGAAAUUUUAGGGCUUUUUUUUUGGGUGAAAGCCCAUUUAGUCCAUGUAUUUUAAGAUUAGUGACCAUUUAGUCCUUUUAUUUUUAAAAAUGUCUCGAAACAUCCCUGCUGUUAAAGUAUUAAUACCCCUACCGUUACUUUUUAUUUCUUUUGGCUUACUUUUACAAUAUUAACCUUUUAUAAUAAUUUUUUUGUUUGGACAUUAAUAAAAAGAAAAUAAUUAAAUUACCAAAUUAACCAUAAAAAUGAAAAUUAAAAAUUUAUAUUAAUUUUUAACUGUCAAAAAUUGCAUGCAAACUACCAAGUGUGCAAAUGGUGCUUGCAAAAAAAUUAAUAUAAAUUUUAUUUUUUAUUUUUAGGGUUAAAUUAGUAAUUUAAUUUUUUUAUUAAUGUCCGAAAAAAUUAUUAUAAAAGGGUAAUAUUAUAAAAGUAAGUCAAAAGAAAUAAAAAGUAACAGUAGGGAUAUAAAUACUUUAACGAAAGGGAUGUUUUGAGGCAUUUUUAAAAAUAUAGGGACUAAAUAGACACUAAUAUUAAAAUAAAAUGACUAAAUAAACUUUUACCCUACUUUUUUUUUAAUCCUGUGAAUAGCCUAUGGCUAAAUUUUAGAUUAUCCCACGCCCCCUGGUUAUAAAAAUUAAAGUAGUGACAGUUAUAAUGCAUCUUCGCUUUAACAAUUGUGAGUAUGGGUUGUAAAUUUGCUUUCUAUCUAAUUAUGCUUUUGGCAUAUGCGCCUAAAUAUACACGUCAGGAAAUUGAAUUGUAUGUUUUUUACAAUAACUCUUUUUUUUUUUUUUGAAGGGAAAGUAAAGCUUUCCAUUAAACUGACUUUGAAAACAACAGCAAAAUAUUGUAUGGAAAAUUUUCCAGCCACAGAGCAGGUCUUUCAAAACUUAAAGCUAAUUUAGCUAAUGAAUCAACUAAAGCAUUACAAGCUCUCGGGACAUAUUGAAUUCUCGAGGGAUUUUGGUUUUUUGAAAACAACUGAAUGUCAGCAAUUGUCCAGGCUAUCUCUGUUAAGCUACCCUUUCUGUUGAUAGAUAGCUCCACCACCUCUGAUGAAUCUGAUUCAAUAAUCAUAGGCCUACAGUUUACUUGAAAAGCAUUUUGAAUACCAAAGAGGACAGCCUCAGCCUCCAUAUCAACCACAGAACCCUCAUAUAGAACUCUCUUAACAGCUGCAGCUAUGAUCUUUCCCCUGGAAUUCCUUAUCACUACCCCCAGACCCGCCUGCUGGGCUGAAGUAUUUAUUGCAGCAUCCACAUUCACUUUGUACCAACCUUCUGGGGGGCCCAUCCAAGUCUGAAUCUUUUUCCUGGGAGUCUUUAAGGUAGCUUGAUCCUUCGAGCAUUUUAUCCUCUUGUACGAUUCCACUAUGGCUUCUGCUCUUGCAACUGGUAAGAGGGGGUCCUCUUGUUUCCCCUUAAAAAUUUGGAUAUUUCUUGAAUGCUAGAUAGCCCAACAGAUUGCAGCUACCAUCUCCCUGCCUUCUUUGCUUCUUUUCAAAGCUACUUCUUGGAUCAUGCUUAAGAUAUCUUGUUGAGCCAUCAUCUUUAUAUCUUCGUAAAAUUCUGUCUUUUUCCAAACUCUUCUAGUAGCCUUACAUUCCAGUAAAGCAUGGACCACAUCUUCUCUCCUACACCCACAUCUUACGCACACUGGCUCCACCACAAUUUUCCUUUUCCAUAAGUUACUUGCUGUUGGCAGCAGAUUUUUGAUAGCCUUCCACAUAAAUAUUUUCACCUUUUCUGGAAGCUCGUCGGACCAAAAGACAUCCCAUCGUGAUUUGGAGCUAUCAGAACAACUUGGGACUUCUUUGAAUUUUUCCUUCACAUCUAUUUGGUAACCACUCAUAGCUGAGUAUUUCCCAUGCUUAUCAAACCGCCAUAUUAGAGCAUCUGGUUGAGGAGUUCCUCGGGAGAGGUAGUUUUAAAAUUUCUGCUGAAAUGUCCUCUGAGAAACUUUGAGCUAUUAGAUCUCCAUUCCAUUGCUGGCCAUCCUUUAUCAGAUCCGCCACAACAGCUUCAGGAUGUAGACUUGACCAAGGGACUAGUCUGAAAACACUAUUCUGAAUCCAAUUUUUGUUGUGCACUGAGAUUUGCUUCCCGUUCCCAAUCCUCCACCUCAAUCCCUCUUUUAGCAGUUGGGGAAGCACCGCUUGAGCCACCGCUUUUAUAAGAACUUCCUUCCCCCCACUGGAAAAAUAUUGUCUCUGCCAGCUAGAUAAUUUGCUCAACACUCGUAGCUUUAUGUCAUUAAAGAACCUAGUUUUUGCUCUCUCCACCAUAAAAGGAAGUCCAAGAUAUUUCUUAUGCUUGGACACUACAGCCAAAUCAAAAAUGCUGCUUAUUUCCUCCCUCAGCUGCUGACUUGUGCUAGAACUGAAAAACAUAGAGGACUUUUCAUAAUUGAAAAUCUACCUUGAGGCUACAGUGUAACAGUCAAAAACUUUCUUUAGCUCUCUGCGCUCAGCAUUAGAAGCUCUUAUGAACACUAGGCUGUCAUCUGCGAACAAAAGAUGAGUGACCAAAAUCUCUCUUCUGAAUUUCAAACCGUGAAAGAGGUUUUGACCUUCUGCUCUUACCAGUAAAUUUGAGAAUACUUCAGCACACAUAAUGAACAGGUAUGGCGAAAGCGGACAUUCUUGUCUUAAUCCACGUUGAGGAUGGAUGAGACCUUUUGCCAAUUCAUUUAUCAAGACUGAAAAGCUAGCUGUGGAUAUGCAAUUCAUAACCAAAUUCACCCACCUCACCGAAAAACCUAGCUUUUCCAUUGUUCCUUUAACAAAACUCUACUCCACCCUGUCAUAGGCCUUACUAAUGUCUAAUUUCAGAGCUAUCAAUCCAUUUCUGUCUAAUUUUGUUUAGACACUCAUAUCUUAUGAUUAUGUUAUCAGUUAUGAGCCUAUUAGGAAAUAAAGCACUUUGAUUGGGAGAUAUAAUAUCAUUCAGAACUAUUAGCUAUUGUUUUUCGACAAUUCUGUAAAUGACAUUACAAAGACUAAUUGGUCUUAACUCUGUCACUUUCCUAAGCUUUGACACUUUCGGGACUAAAGCAAUAAAAGUUUGGUUCAAAAGAGUAAGAUUACCUCCCUCAUUUAGGAUGUGCAGACAUGUUGAAACCACCCCCUCAUUGACAGAGCUCCAAUGCUUUUGGAAGAAGGCCACCGGAAGACCAUCUGGACCUGGUGCCUUUGUGGGACAGAUGGGCUUGAUGUGGUGAAAAUAUUUGUAAAAUAUUUUCACUACCUCGACAUCUUCAAUCCAAUCACCAUUUUCGUCUUCAAUGCCAUGGAUUCUGUUUUUUUUUUCCUCCUAGCCGAAGCCUUUGUAUGGAAAUAUUUUGUGUUCCUAUCACCCUCUUUCAGCCAAUCCACUCUCGAUCUUUGCUUCCAAAAAAUUUCUUCAUCAGCUAGAAUAUUAUCUAUCUAAUUUUCAACUCGUUUUAAUUCAUCUCCACUUUCAAAAUGAUAGUAAUCUUUUUUCAUGCUUUCCAGCUUGUUAACAAGUUUCUCCAGCUUCUUUUUCCUUCCAUUAAAUUCUCCAUUGCUCCAAAGUUUCAGCUCAGCCAAGGUUUCUUUCGAUUUUUUCAUGAAGAUUUCAGCCGGGUUGCUACUAUUCCAGCAACAUUGCUCCUUCCAUUCAUGCUUCACAAUUGUCUUGCACUUCUCGUACGGGCUCCACAUAUCUUCAUAAUGGAGCCUAGGAUAUGUUCUCUUCAUGUAGCCCUUGCCCCUGCCUUUCUCCAGCACUUCCAUCAUAAUCGAAAUGUGGUUCGAACUCCACGAAGUCAAAUUCGAAGCUACCUUUUCCUAAUAAAAGCUUCCCCAUUUUCUGUUGCACAAGAAUCUAUCGAGUUUCUCUUCGAUUAUGUGAGGCCCAAACCUCCUAUUUGAUCAAGUGAAAGGGUAUCCGCUACUUCCCAAAUCUUUCAAAUCACAGUCCCUCAUUGCUCUCCUAAACUCAUUCACCUCAUUUACCCGUUUCUCAUUUCCCCCAAUCUUCUCAUUUAAGUUCAACAUUUCAUUAAAAUCCCCAAAACACAGCCAUGGUAAUGAAGACAACUUUGUUAUCCUUCUCAACAGCUCCCAAGUGUGUUUUUUUUGUCAGAUUCAGGAUGUCCGUAAACCCCCGUGCACAUCCAAUAGCUUCCAUUUUCGCUAUGCACCACGGCAUCAACAUGGUGUUUACUGUAAGACUUGAUAUCAAUUGUAACCUCUUCAUUCCACAAUAAAGCCAAACCGCCCCCCCAAACCUUCUCUAUUAACUGCAAAGUAGUUUUGAUACCUCAACCUUUUUGCUUUCUCUUGCAUUUGCUUAACCUUCAAUUUAGUUUCAUAGAUGAACAUAAUUUCAGGCCUAUGCUCACACAAGAGUUGCUGGGCUUCUCAGAACGUUCGGUCAUUUCUCAGCCCCUGAACGUUCCAGCUAACGAUUUUCAUGGCUGUCAGCGAGGCUGUUUCACAGCCACCGCCGAUUUCUCAUUUCCAGCAUUCUCAAACUCCCCCUUGUCUUCCUCUUCCACAUUUUCAAAGCUGAGCCCCUUUGUUGCCAAGGCUUUUCCAAACCGUUGGUUGCUCCCCAUUUUUUGUGGGCUGUUCCCUUUGCACUUUUUUGGUUUUGGGCUUUCCCAGUUCAUUGAGCUUCUCAACCUUUUUAAUCCCAAAACUUCUUCAUUUGUUUCUAUAUUCCCUUCCACGUUGCGGGCUUGAAAUUUCCACGUUGCGGGCUUGAAAUUUCCACUUCUUUUUCUAUAUUCCCUUCCACGUUGCGGGCUUGAAAUUUCCACUUCUUUUUCUUGGGCUUUGAUUUAUCCAUUCUGAGCCCAUUCUCUCUAUUCUCCACUUCUGAUUUCGUUUGGAGUGAACACGUAUACAUGUUGAGCUUGUGGCCCCCCUCUUCUAUACUGCCUUUCCUUCCAUUUUCUUCUUGCUCCCCUUUUCCCGCUCUAUAUAAGCCCGCAUUUUGCAUUUUUACUGACUUUUUAUGUUGGAGGUUCGCUUCCCACUCUUUUUCUUUUCCAUCUAUAGUUCUUGCCUCCUUGUCCAUCUCCCACAGCACUGCACCUCCAUCUGCUUGAUUUUUACUGACAUUACAGCUGGCCGCUGGCUCUGCAGUCUUUUUUGCCUCUUUCAUUAAUUGUUCCCCAGUUCCCAAUUGAUCCCUGCUCCUCGUUCCACUCAAACUCCCCAUACCUGAAUCCAAUUCGGGCCUAUUGAGUCCAUAUUCUAUUUCAUGAACCCCUCCGUUUUGUUGGUCUUUCUCCAUCAUAUCAUUUUCUCCAGCCCUUUUAUUGGAUCUAAAGCAUUUGGAGGAUUGUUUCUGAAAUCUGAAUCCCAUCUAUCUUUCCUUCUACCCUGUUUCAAUUUCUCAGUAAUCGUGAGUGCCUUAAGCCAUGGACCAUACGGCAUUUCAUCCUUGGACUGAGAUUUAUAGUGGACACACUCUCUGUAUUAGUGACCUAUCCGCCCGCAACAGAAACAAAAAUCCAGCAGUCUUUCGUACAUGACCCGCAUAGGAAUGUCUUCCUCAUCCUCCCCUUUUUGCUCUAGCUCAAUUAGUUUCUUUAAAGGCUUCGUGACAUCCACAGAAAUUCUCAACCUCAAAAAUUGUCCAAAGCAUUCCCCAGUUGCAUCUGUUUCAAUUUCUUCAACUUUUCCAAUGACAUUUCCUAGCUCCAAUGCCAUCUCCUUUGACAUACACAUGAUGGGGAUAUUGUGUAUCUGCACCCAGAAUGAUACGUGAUUGAAUUUCUACUUCUUUACAUCACCAAUUCCCGCUGGUUCGGUGAGCACAAUGAGUGCUCUGUCAAAAUGCCAAGGGCCACCCGCCUCAGUUCCAAACUUAAACAUGAACACAUUAUCACCCAGAUCUUCUAUCUUUACUUCGCGUGAGGUUCUCCAUUCCCUUUGCAUAACAGACUUCAACCCCUCAAUACUGACUCCCCUCGUAUGCAGAACUUUCCCGAUCAAACACCCCGCAACUAUUUUUUCCCCAAUGGCCUUCAUUUGACUCUUGAAAGAAACUCUUCCCUCCUCUUCAUCACUCAACUUUAUCGCUCUACAUCUUCUGAUUAGCUCCUCUGGGUCCAUCCUCUCUAACUCACAGACUUGCAGGCUAGAAAGGAUUAGCUGGGAGCUUGGAGCCUUUAAGGAUUUGACUUUUGAAAGAGAAUUUCACCAACUACUCAACACUCUUUCACAGAUUGACUGACCUAAAUCCCGUACAUCAUUAAAUAAUGAAAGUGAUAAAAACAAUAGGAAGAAAACCCACCCCCAUCAGAGUGACUUAAAGGAGCCAUGACACCUCUAUUUUUCCUCUCAUCGUUGUAAGUUUUCAGAGAAAACUCAUAAGGAGAGAGACUGACAACUCAAACCUUAGUUCACAACAACUCUUAAAUACAUGGAUCCAUAUCUUUCUAUUUUCAAAAUGGUUGUGGAAAAGUAAAACUGUGUUACUCUCUCUUGGCAUUGGGCUAAUUCUCCGUGAGAAUCUUGAAAUAAAGUUAACUUUUAUAACUAGAGGGAGGACCAACUUCUUUUAUAAUUAAAAUAUUUAAUGUAAUAAAAUGUAUAAAUAUAUCUAAUAUGGGCUUAAUAAGAAUUCAUGUGCGACAUUAAAGGUAUGCUUGGUACCAUUUUUUGGUAAACCUUUUUUUUUUUUCAUUUUAUGACAAUACAAAAAUGUAAAACUCAUUUGGUGGAUGCAAAAAAUAUAAAAUUGAAUAGUUAUUGGUUUUUACUUUUUUUUCAUAAAGGUAAAAAACAUUAAAUUGAGGUUCUUUUAUCAUAUUUCUCAUUGAAUUCCCUCAAAAGUGAAAUAAAUCAUUAGAAAAAGGAGACAUACAUCCUUAAAAUUUGAAAAUUUUGUUAUGCAAACUCUUAAAUAUAAUAUAAUACCCUUUGGAUAUAGAAACUAGAAAAUUGACUUUAAAAGGUUUUAAUAAACUUUGCUGCUGUACGGCCAAGGCGGAUGUACGGUACAGCAGUUUAAUUUUAUAUUUAUAUUUAUUUUAAAGAUUUUAAAUAAAUCUUUGGAUUAAAAAGAUUUUACAAUUAGCAAAAUAUCUUCCUAUCAAUAAUAUUAAAAUUAUUUAUUGAUAAUAUUCCAAAUAAUUUAAAUUUAUUUAUUGUAAUAUUAUGUUUCUAUUUAUUAUUAAAAUUACUUUAAUAUGAUAAAAUAUGCAUCGCAGAUUCUAAAGUAUAAAAAUAUUUUCUUUGCUUGUCAACAAAUGUUUUUUUCCUGAAAACCAAAAUAAAAUUAGAGUGAUAAUAGAGCUACAAACUCUUGUACAAACUUAUUUCGUACAAACUGAUGCGUCAUUAAUUCAUUGGUUGAAUGAAAAUAUAAAAUAAUAGAAAUAAAUCAUGUGGGCCAAGAGAUAUUUAAUUCAACCAAUGAAUUAACGGCAUAUCAGUUUGUACAAAAUAAGUUUGUAUAAGAGUUUGUGGCUAUAUCAUUACUCAUAAAAUUAUGUCAACAUCAAUUCUUCAACACAGCAACAUUUGCUACCCUGCUUUAUGUUUAAUACUACUCUUUCCAUGCCCAAAAAUUCAAAAAUUUUUAAUGGGUCUUGUUACUGGGCUUCUGGCAGUAAUAACAUUGAAGGCAUUUUGAUUUUAAAUUUCUUUUAAAAGAAAAAUUCUUUAAAUUAAAAAAAAGAAAAGAAAAGAAAAAAUUGAUUUAAGAUGAAGGUUGGAUCCCUAUUCUUUUCAGAAGGCACGCGUCUCGAAGAACAUGUAUCACGUGUCUAAGAGAAAAAUGAGCAAUAAUGCCGUAUUUGCGGAAUUUAGCCACUUCGCCAGUUUCUUGGCAUCUUCCUUGCAAAUUCUUCCAUAGUGUUUAAUUUUCCAUAGUGUUUUAAUAUUCAACAUUUCUUGAAGCAAAUAACAAUACAUCUGGGUGCUACAGACAGAAGGAGAUAUGCUGGACGUCCACCUCCGACUAUUUUGUGAGAGGUUGAAAAGGGUGUUAGCUGGUGAAGAAGGCACGUUGACGUUGCGUGAUUCAACAAAUUUAGCCAUCUAGCUACAUAGAUCAUUCACCAGAUGAUAUUUGGAGGAUGCAAAAACUCAUGUAUCUAAACUUCGGUUUCAUCAAUCUGCCCGCACCUCAAAAAAAUUAUUGCAGCUCUCUGAAAAAUCUCAUUUUCUUAUCAGCCUUACACCCUAGCAGUUGCACUCCAGCUAUAUUGGGCAGACUACCAAUUGUCCAAAGUCUAAGAAUAUCUGGAGAUUUGAGUUACUAUCAAUCUGGGGUUUCCAAAAGCCUAUGCGAACUGCACAAACUUGAAUGCUUGAAGCUGGUGAAUGGGAGCAAGCGCUCACGGAUUGUCCUGACUGAAUACCAACUUCCUCCAAGUCUGAGCCAUACGAGCAUAUCGAACACUGAGCUAAUUGAGGAUCCCAUGCCAAUGCUGGAAAAGCUUCCACGCCUUCAAGUGCUGAAACUGAAGCAGAACUCGUAUUUAGGAAGAAAGCUGGCCUGCGUUGGCUCUGGUGGCUUUCCGGAACUUAAGAUUUUGCACCUGAAGUCAAUGUAUUGGCUAGACGAGUGGACGAUGGGGGCAGGAGCAAUGCCAAAACUUGAAACCUUAAUUGUCAACCCAUGUGCUUACUUGAGAAAGCUUCCAGAAGAGCUAUGGUGCAUAAAGAGCUUGUGCAAAUUGGAUUUACAUUGGCCUCAGACAGAGUUGAGACAAAGACUACGGACUUUCGAGGAUAUGGAGUGGCGGUAUGACAUCCAGUUAUAUCCUUACGGAAUCUGAUAGAUUGAAUUGGGUGACUUUUAAUCUAAUCUGAUAACUCAUACUUCUGUUACUUGCCUCAUUUUAUAUGCAACUUUUUNNNNNNNNNNNNNNNNNNNNNNNNNNNNNNNNNNNNNNNNNNNNNNNNNNNNNNNNNNNNNNNNNNNNNNNNNNNNNNNNNNNNNNNNNNNNNNNNNNNNNNNNNNNNNNNNNNNNNNNNNNNNNNNNNNNNNNNNNNNNNNNNNNNNNNNNNNNNNNNNNNNNNUGUAUCUAUCUAAUAAUUAGAACUGUAAAAGUUGAUUUUCAUCUAUGAUUCUUAUUUCCUUUUACUUGUGUAGACAAAAUCGGCAAGGGAAAUAUUGUAAUUCAGUAUUUGCUAUAACUGAUGCCAUGGUUGCAAUAUUGUCUACAAACAUGAAUAGUUGUACUCCUUUCUCUAUUUUUUGAAUUUUUUGGUAUGUAUGUUUGUGUAUUUGUUUUAGUUACUGUUUUAUGCUUAGAAGUGCUCCAUUUAGGCCCUAGAUACAUGCAGGUACGGUUUGGCUAGCUGUGGACUUGUAUGGUUUUCUAGUUAAAGAAAAUAUCAAUCUUCUAGAAAAACUGCCUCAUGCGUGUACAUUUCUGCUUCAUUUUAGUUGCUGCCUCAUGCAUAAAAUUAUGUACAACUAUACAUUUCUUAUUAAUUUAUGCAUGUAGUGAUGUUUUGAAUCAUAUCGGAGAAUCGUUUAUAUUUAUUAAGACUCAAUGUACAUGCAAUUUGUAGUAUCGCCCAGAGAUCUGCCAAGCAUUAGCUUAGAAAAAUACUCUGUCCAAAUUCAGAGAAAUUAGCCCGGGUCAUAUUUAAAUAAAUAAAUAUAAGGCCCUAAUUGAAAUGCCAUUGUAUUUUCUUAAAUUUCAAUUAAUUAUCAAAUAGAAAAAUGGCAAGUCACAUUUGAACUUAUUUACAAGCAUAGCUCUUGAUAUUUAAAUAAAUAUAUAUAUAUUUAGAUAUACCUUCAAUUGGCCUAUCUCCUCUCAUAAUAUUUCUUUCAUUCAUAACUAUUGGAUAAAGAUUAGAAUUUGAUCAAUGAAAAAAAGAUAAACAAUUACCAAUUCUAAUUGAAAUGCCAUUGUAUUUUCUUAAAUUUCAAUUAAUUAUCAAAUAGAAAAAUGGCAAGUUUUUUUUGCUUCUUGAUUUUGAUUGGGAAAACUACUGAGACAGAGAUCUUUAAUUGCUAGACAUCUUCAAUAAAUGACUCCUAGCUAAAACUCCCAAAAACUAUUCAUAGAUAUCAAUUAUUAAUGCAUAUUUACUCAACAAAAAAUUAUGAUAUAUUCCAAAUAUCAUAAUUUUUUUUCCCUCUUAUUAUUUCUGAAGUUAUUUUCUUCCUGUUUCUAAUGUUUCUCUAAUUCUUAAUCCCUUAAUGAUGAGGCGAGAAAGAUUACGAAAGUCAAACUGAUUAAAACUACAUAUAUAAAUAUUAGAAUCCAAACGUCCCGUGCCCAAAUCCUGUUGAACAACUAAUCUACAAGGGCAUUGGCCAGAGGCAAAUGAAGAUGGUUGAAUGAUUAAUUACUUUAAACAAAAAAUAAGUCGAAAUCUAUGAAUAGAAUUUUCCUUUCUUUAUACAUAUUCAAUUAUAACAAACGAUUAUUAAAUUACUCCCAACGAAAGGAUUAGGUUUUUCAUUAUUGCAAUUAAACAAGAUUCUCAUUUUCUCGCAUCGCGUGCAUUGCAAGUUGCAACAAUCGAAAACUCUUGCCGAUGCUAUUAGUAUAAUGUAUAAUGUGAGUGGCCGCAAAAAUGCUCUGCUGAUUUGACACCGGUGUAACUGUAAACUAAACUUUUAUUAUUAAGUAAAACAAACACAUGUUAACAAAAAGAACAAUAAUUCAUCAAUUUGUACAUUGACAACUAAAUAACUAUAAUUUUUUUUUGUUAAAUCUCUAUUUAUAAAAACUCUACUAACAAAAGCCCUCCUUAAAUAAAUUCUAGUUAAAAAGUUAUACCAAACGGAGCCAUAAUAUAAUUACAAAUUUCCUAACUAAGCUACAUUAUUAUGCACCUUAGCAAUUAAAGCAAAUACUAUUGACUUGAGGAAGCACUUUUUGUGUUUCUUUAUUAGUGUGUGCAUGUACCAAACAAACUCUUCUUAAAAGCGAAAACAAAUCUCUCUUUAAAUUAAUAAAUAUUAAUUUAUCAUGAUAAAUUUUUCAUUCAAUAAAUAAAUAAAUAACUUAUCUAAAAUAAUAUUUUUUCUUAGUCCUAACAAUAUUAUUUUAUAGAUAUUGUUCUACAUUACUGUGCAAUAAUGAAAAUUUUUUAUAUUUUUAAAAAUAUAGUUACAAUCUAGAUACAUGUACGUUGAUAAUACAACUUUGAAAUAUAUCAAGACAAUUUUGAAAAUCUACUUCUACUAAUAAUAAUAUUAUGGAGAAAUUAAUUGUCACGUGGCUGCUAUAGAGUCUUAUUCAACAGGGUAAUUGUUGUUAUAGUCAAAACAAAUAUUUAGUUUUUAUUUACUUGUUGAAGUGGUCCACUAAAUCAGCACUUGGUGCUAUCAUUUAGCUGUGUCUUUGUUAUUUUCUGUUAAUGUCUUUGUAUAAAUUCAUAGUCCGAAGAUGAAUAAAAGCCUUGGUUACGUUGGCACGUAAUUUUCUUCAAAGAUGAAUGAAGGCUUCCAAUUAAUUUUCUUCAAAGUUCCUCUAGUAUUGGAAGCCUUGGUCUUCCUCGAAAUAGACCAAGUUCAGCUGAUCGUUCUUUAUUUAAUUAACUACUACAAUAGGGAAAUGAAAGAAAACGAUCCUGAAAAGGCAUGAUUCCUUAUAAGAUCGCUAAUGCUCAAAAUAAGUGGCUCAUAGAAAGACAAUGACCAGUAAUGAACAUAACAUAAUGGGUUCAAUUUCUAUCAACUUGUUUGAUAGUGUAGAUGUGGGAUGGAGAUGGAUUAAAGGAACCUCUUUUGAAAAGCAUCGAAAAUGAAUAAAGUGGGAAAAUCAAGAUAAGCAUGUUUGGUGGAUGCAUUUUUUGAAUUACAAACAAAAAAUACAAAAUUGAAUAGUUCUUGGUUUCCACUUUUUUCAUAAAGGUAAAGAAUGUUAAAUUAAUGUUCUCUGAUGAUAUUUCUUAUCGGAUUUCCCUCAAAAGCAAAAUAAAUUGUCGGAAAAAUAAUACCUACUUCCUUAAAUUUUAAAAAAAUUAUCAUUUAGACCCUGAAAUUUUAAAACAGUUGCACCAAAAUCUUUUCUUUAACUAUGAUACCUCUUGAAUGUACUAACUAAAAAAUUGACUUUAAAAAAUUUUAAUCAAUACGAAUAUAAUAUAAAUAAUAAAAUCUACGUAGUAGGCUAAUAACAUUAUGAGCUAUUUUCCUAGAGGGUAUAACGCUGAUGACAAUGAGGAGAAUCACUUAAUUAACGUAUUGAAAUAGCAACUUGGUUUAGAUCUACAAUGCCACUUGCUAUAUGAAAACGUAUAUAAUCAUAAUUAAUUAGCGAAAAGGACGUUGUAAUUAUCUGAAUUAAGUAAUAAACGCUUCAACUAAUCUACAAGGGCAUUGGCCAGAGGCAAAUGAAGAUGGUUGAAUGAUUAAUUACUUUAAACAAAAAAUAAGUCGAAAUCUAUGAAUAGAAUUUUCCUUUCUUUAUACAUAUUCAAUUAUCACAAACGAUUAUUAAAUUACUCCCUACGAAAGGAUCAGGUUUGUCAAUAUUGCAAUUAAACAAGAUUCUCAUUUUCUCGCAUCGCGUGCAUUGCAAGUUGCAACAAUCGAAAACUCUUGCCGAUGCUAUUAGUAUAAUGUAUAAUGUGACUGGCCGCAAAAAUGCUCUGCUGAUUUGACACCGGUGUAAUUGUAAACUAAACUUUUAUUAUUAAGUAAAACAAACACAUGUUAACAAAAAGAACAAUAAUUCAUCAAUUUGUACAUUGACAACUAAAUAACUAUAAUUUUUUUUGUUAAAUCUCUAUUUAUAAAAACUCUACCAACAAAAGCCCUCCUUAAAUAAGUUCUAGUUUAAAAAUUAUACCAAAUGGGGUCAUAAUAUAAUUACAAAUUUCCGAACUAAGCUACAUUAUUAUGCACCUUAGCAAUUAAAGCAAAUACUAUUGACUUCAGGAAGUACUUUUUGUGUUUCUUUUAUUAGUGUGUGCAUGUACCAAACAAACUCUUCUUAAAAGCGAAAACAAAUCUCUCUUUAAAUUAAUAAAUAUUAAUUUAUCAUGAUAAAUUUUUCAUUCAAUAAAUAAAUAAAUAACUUAUCUAAAAUAAUAUUUUUUCUUAGUCCUAACAAUAUUAUUUUAUAGAUAUUGUUCUACAUUACUGUGCAAUAAUUAAAAUUUUUUAUAUUUUUUAAAAUAUAGUUACAAUCUAGAUACAUGUACGUUGAUAAUACAACUUUGAAAUAUAUCAAGACAAUUUUGAAAAUCUACUUCUACUAAUAAUAAUAUUAUGGAGAAAUUAAUUGUCACGUGGCUGCUAUAGAGUCUUAUUCAACAGGGUAAUUGUUGUUAUAGUCAAAACAAAUAUUUAGUUUUUAUUUACUUGUUGAAGUGGUCCACUAAAUCAGCACUUGGUGCUAUCAUUUAGCUGUGUCUUUGUUAUUUUCUGUUAAUGUCUUUGUAUAAAUUCAUAGUCCGAAGAUGAAUAAAAGCCUUGGUUACGUUGGCACGUAAUUUUCUUCAAAGAUGAAUGAAGGCUUCCAAUUAAUUUUCUUCAAAGUUCCUCUAGUAUUGGAAGCCUUGGUCUUCCUCGAAAUAGACCAAGUUCAGCUGAUCGUUCUUUAUUUAAUUAACUACUACAAUAGGGAAAUGAAAGAAAACGAUCCUGAAAAGGCAUGAUUCCUUAUAAGAUCGCUAAUGCUCAAAAUAAGUGGCUCAUAGAAAGACAAUGACCAGUAAUGAACAUAACAUAAUGGGUUCAAUUUCUAUCAACUUGUUUGAUAGUGUAGAUGUGGGAUGGAGAUGGAUUAAAGGAACCUCUUUUGAAAAGCAUCGAAAAUGAAUAAAGUGGGAAAAUCAAGAUAAGCAUGUUUGGUGGAUGCAUUUUUUGAAUUACAAACAAAAAAUACAAAAUUGAAUAGUUCUUGGUUUCCACUUUUUUCAUAAAGGUAAAGAAUGUUAAAUUAAUGUUCUCUGAUGAUAUUUCUUAUCGGAUUUCCCUCAAAAGCAAAAUAAAUUGUCGGAAAAAUAAUACCUACUUCCUUAAAUUUUAAAAAAAUUAUCAUUUAGACCCUGAAAUUUUAAAACAGUUGCACCAAAAUCUUUUCUUUAACUAUGAUACCUCUUGAAUGUACUAACUAAAAAAUUGACUUUAAAAAAUUUUAAUCAAUACGAAUAUAAUAUAAAUAAUAAAAUCUACGUAGUAGGCUAAUAACAUUAAAGUAUAUUUAACAUUUAAAAUAAUAUUAAAAUUUUCAAAUUAUGAUUUUUAUUUUAAUCUUAUAUUUGUAUUUAUUAUAGAGAUUUUAAAUAAACCUUUGGAUUAAAAAGAUUUUAAAACGAGGUCCGGCGACUUUCCGGCGAUGUCCGACGGUGGUCCGGCGAGGUCCGGUGGUGGUCCGGCGACUUUCCGGUGGAAGUCCAUUUAUAAUAUUAAAUUAAUAAAAUAAAAUAAUAAUUAUUAAUAAUAUUAAAUAAGUUAAAAAAUUAAAGGGUAAUUUUAAAAACUUUAAUUUUUAAUAUAAGAGGAAUUUAAAAUUUUCACUAGUUAAUAUAAGAGAAUAUUAGAUUUUUUUGUUUUUUUUUUUAUUUUAGUUUAACAAUAUAAAUUUUUUUAAUUUUAAAUGGAUAAAUUAAUUGAAUUUUGGAUGUCCAUUAAAUAUUCAUACCCAUCCAAUAUCCAAUUGGAUAUUUUUAAAAAUAUCCAUAUCCAUAUCCAAAAAGAUUUUGGAUGGAUAUUAUCCAAUCCAAUUGGAUUGGAUAUAUGGAUAUCCAAUUUGGAUGGACCAAUUUGCCAUCCCUACUAAUAACAUUAAAGUAUAUUUAACAUUUAAAAUAAUAUUAAAAAUUUCAAAUUAUGAUUUUUAUUUUAAUCUUAUAUUUGUAUUUAUUAUAGAGAUUUUAAUAAACCUUUGGAUUAAAAAGAUUUUAAAAUUAACAAAAUGUCUUCCUAUUAAUAAUAUUAACAUUAUUUUUUAUAAUAUUCCAAAUAAUUUAAACUUCAAUUUAUUUAUUGUAAUAUUAUGUUUCUAUUUAUUAUUAAAAUUACUUUAAUAUGAUAAAAUAUUUUCUUGCUUGUCAAAAAAUUUUUUUUUCCACGAAAGCCAAAAUAAAAUUAUGUCAAUAUCAAUUCUUUAACAGAACAACCUUAGGCCUUUCUAAUGUUUAAUACUACUAUUUCCAUGCCCAAAAAUUGUAAAAUUUUUAAUUAGUCCUGUUACUGGGCUUGAGGCAGUUACGCCAGUGAAGGCAAUUUGAUAUUAAAAUAUUUUUUAAUGAAAAAUUCUUUAAAUUAAAAAAGAAACAAUUGAUUUAAGCACCAAUAAUUAUGUCAUGGUAGUAAUUAAAUAAGAUAAAGGUUGGAUACCGAUUGGGAUACCUGUUCUUUUCAAAAGGCACGCAUCUUGGACUUUUCUCUAAAUGAACGCGUAUCAAUUUUUUGAGUUAAAAAAAGAGCAAUAAUGUCAUAUUUGUGGAAUUUAGCCACUUACACAGUUUCUUGGCAUCUUCCUUUCAAAUUCUCCCAUGGUGUUUAAUCUUUCAACUAUACCUCUGAGUGCUACGGAGAGAAGGAGAUAUGCUGGAAUUCCACCUCCGACUGUUUUGUGAGAGGUUGAAAAGGGUGUUAGCAGGUGAAGAAGGCACGUUGCCGCUGCCAGAUUCAACAAAUUUAACUCCACUUUUUCAAAACCUUCUUACGGAGUCCGAAAUUAUUGCUACUACUCUGCUGGAAAAAAAUGAAGCUGACAUGGCUCGGCAUUUGUUUCAACUCAUUAGAGAAGAAUUCGAUGAAUCCAAAAUAUCUUCGCCUUUUUUGCAACUGUUGGACUUAGAAGAAAGCGAUGAAGAAGUCGUUGAAACAGCAGAUAUUUUUGAAAUUCUGGAGGACAUCAAUGACUUUGUCCAUGAAUCUGAGGAAGCCAUUGACACACUCUUCAUCAACAUCAUGCAGCAGCAAAACAGUGAAAACGAAAGUGAAAGCAGUACUAAUAUGGCUCUUCUUGCUGGUCUCCACAGUAAAAUCAUUGAUAUUAGUAAUCGGAUGCAACAACUUCCACCCGGCGACAAUGGUUUUGAUAUCAGUGAAAAAAGUAACGAAAUCAUUCGCCUAUUGAGUGAGGGACAACCUCGGCUCGAUAUCAGUGAAUUUGAAAGGGGCAGAGAGAAGUUUUUUGAUCUAUUGAUUGAGGGACCAUCUGGGCUUUCAGUGGUUGCAAUUCUCGACAGCAGUGGCUUCGAUAUUUUUCAUAAAGGUAAAGAAUGUUAAAUUAAUGUUCUCUGAUGAUAUUUCUUAUCGGAUUUCCCUCAAAAGCAAAAUAAAUUGUCGGAAAAAUAAUACCUACUUCCUUAAAUUUUAAAAAAAUUAUCAUUUAGACCCUGAAAUUUUAAAACAGUUGCACCAAAAUCUUUUCUUUAACUAUGAUACCUCUUGAAUGUACUAACUAAAAAAUUGACUUUAAAAAAUUUUAAUCAAUACGAAUAUAAUAUAAAUAAUAAAAUCUACGUAGUAGGCUAAUAACAUUAAAGUAUAUUUAACAUUUAAAAUAAUAUUAAAAAUUUCAAAUUAUGAUUUUUAUUUUAAUCUUAUAUUUGUAUUUAUUAUAGAGAUUUUAAAUAAACCUUUGGAUUAAAAAGAUUUUAAAAUUAACAAAAUGUCUUCCUAUUAAUAAUAUUAACAUUAUUUUUUAUAAUAUUCAAAAUAAUUUAAACUUUAAUUUAUUUAUUGUAAUAUUAUGUUUCUAUUUAUUAUUAAAAUUACUUUAAUAUGAUAAAAUAUGCAUAAUAAAUUUUAAAAAAUAAAAUAAUUUUCUUGCUUGUCAACAAUUUUUUUUUUUCCACCAAAACCAAAAUAAAAUUAUGUCAAUAUCAAUUCUUUAACAGAACAACCUUAGGCCUUUCUAAUGUUUAAUACUACUAUUUCCAUGCCCAAAAAUUGUAAAAUUUUUAAUUAGUCCUGUUACUGGGCUUGAGGCAGUUACGCCAGUGAAGGCAAUUUGAUAUUAAAAUAUUUUUUAAUGAAAAAUUCUUUAAAUUAAAAAAGAAACAAUUGAUUUAAGCACCAAUAAUUAUGUCAUGGUAGUAAUUAAAUAAGAUAAAGGUUGGAUACCGAUUGGGAUACCUGUUCUUUUCAAAAGGCACGCAUCUUGGACUUUUCUCUAAAUGAACGCGUAUCAAUUUUUUGAGUUAAAAAAAGAGCAAUAAUGUCAUAUUUGUGGAAUUUAGCCACUUACACAGUUUCUUGGCAUCUUCCUUUCAAAUUCUCCCAUGGUGUUUAAUCUUUCAACUAUACCUCUGAGUGCUACGGAGAGAAGGAGAUAUGCUGGAAUUCCACCUCCGACUGUUUUGUGAGAGGUUGAAAAGGGUGUUAGCAGGUGAAGAAGGCACGUUGCCGCUGCCAGAUUCAACAAAUUUAACUCCACUUUUUCAAAACCUUCUUACGGAGUCCGAAAUUAUUGCUACUACUCUGCUGGAAAAAAAUGAAGCUGACAUGGCUCGGCAUUUGUUUCAACUCAUUAGAGAAGAAUUCGAUGAAUCCAAAAUAUCUUCGCCUUUUUUGCAACUGUUGGACUUAGAAGAAAGCGAUGAAGAAGUCGUUGAAACAGCAGAUAUUUUUGAAAUUCUGGAGGACAUCAAUGACUUUGUCCAUGAAUCUGAGGAAGCCAUUGACACACUCUUCAUCAACAUCAUGCAGCAGCAAAACAGUGAAAACGAAAGUGAAAGCAGUACUAAUAUGGCUCUUCUUGCUGGUCUCCACAGUAAAAUCAUUGAUAUUAGUAAUCGGAUGCAACAACUUCCACCCGGCGACAAUGGUUUUGAUAUCAGUGAAAAAAGUAACGAAAUCAUUCGCCUAUUGAGUGAGGGACAACCUCGGCUCGAUAUCAGUGAAUUUGAAAGGGGCAGAGAGAAGUUUUUUGAUCUAUUGAUUGAGGGACCAUCUGGGCUUUCAGUGGUUGCAAUUCUCGACAGCAGUGGCUUCGAUAGGACUGCUUUUGCUGCAGAUACUUACAACAAUAAUCAUGUAAAGUUCUAUUUUGACUGUCUUGCUUGGGUCAGGGUUUCUGUAUUCUACGAUUUUCGCAUGAUAUUGGAUGACAUAAUCAAGUCUGUGAUGCCUCCAUCUCGGGUGAGUGUAAUUAUCGGUGAAGAUUAUCAAUUCAAGGAAUCUAUUCUUCGAGAUUACCUAACAAACAGGAAGUACUUUAUUGUGCUUGAUGAUGUCUGCGAUAACAUUGAGAUAUGGGAUGAUCUUGAAGAAGUUCUUCCUGAUAAUCAGAAUGGAAGCAGAGUAUUGAUAUUGGUCACUGAUCCAGACCUCCUUGCGUCGUUGGAAAUGGAAAACGGAGAGAAGAUUCGGCUUGCUUCGGUGCUCAUUGGAGGACCAUUGAUCAGAUUAAAGCAUGAAGCCUGGCAAUUUUUCGUCCUACACCAUGGAAGUAUGCCAUUAGAAAAUUAUGUUCAAGGCGAAGCGAUUCCGACAGUUUGGAGACAAAUUUUCUCUGUGAUGGAGUUACCUUUUCACUUGAAAGUCUGCUGCAUCUAUUUGUGUGUCUUCCCACCAGGCAUUGAGAUAUCCACGAGGCAAUUAUAUCAGUUGUGGGUAGCUGAAGGUUUCAUACCAUACAACGAUGAAGAAACUGCCGAACAUUACUUGAAAGAACUAAUCCAUCGCGGCUUCAUUCAAGUGAGUAAGAGAAGAGCCGGAGGCACAAUUAAAGCUUGUUAUGUUCCAAGUCUUGCAUAUACUCCAAUGGUUUUGGUGGCAGAGAAGACGGGAUUUGUCUGGAUGCCUGAAAUGGAAGGGGGAUCAGUGGCAUAUGUUAAACGGUGCUUCAUUUUGGAUGAUCUGAUUGACUUCUUUUCUUUGAAGCAUUCUGACAUGUACCUCCAAUCUUUUAUGAAUCACAGUUCAGAAAGCGAUCGUCUCGCUCUGAUAGAUUGCGAGAAUUUUUGUAAAAAGUUCAAACACCUUCGGGUAUUGAAUUUGGGUUCUGCAGUCCUGGACCAAUAUCCACCCGGAUUAGGAAAUUUAUAUCUUUUGAAGUAUUUGAAAUUGAAUAUCCCUUCGCUCAAAUGCCUUCCUUCACUGCUCUGCACCCUUUUAAACCUUCAAACACUAGAAAUGCCAUCUAGCUACAUAGAUCAGUCGCCAGAGGAUAUUUGGAUGAUGCAAAAACUCAUGCAUCUAAACUUUGGUUCUAUCACUCUGCUGUACGGCCAAGGCGGAUGUACGGUACAGCAGAAUAUGUAUAAUAAAUUGUAAAAUACAAAAAUAUUUUCAAAAAAUUAUUCUAGCUCUCUGAAAAAUCUCAUUUUCAUAUCAGCUUUAAACCCUAGUAGUUGUACUCCUGAUAUAUUGGGCAGACUACCUAGUGUUCAGACUCUUCGGAUAUCUGGAGAUUUGAGUUACUAUCAAUCUGGGGUUUCCAAAAGCCUUUGCGAACUCCACAAACUUGAAUGCUUGAAGCUGGUGAAUGAGAGCAAGCCCUCACGGAUGGUCCUGUCUGAAUACCAAUUUCCCCCAAGUCUGAUCCAACUGAGCUUAUCAAAUACUGAGCUAAUGGAGGAUCCCAUGCCAAUUCUGGAAAAUCUUCCACGCCUUCGAGUGCUGAAACUGAAGCAGAACUCGUAUUUAGGAAGAAAGCUUGCUUGUGUUGGCUUGAGUAGCUUUCCCGAACUUAAGGUUUUGCACCUGAAAUCAAUGUAUUGGCUAGAUGAGUGGACGAUGGGGGCUGGAGCAAUGCCGAAACUUGAAAGCUUAAUUGUCAACCCAUGUGCUUACUUGAGAAAGCUUCCAGAAGAGCUGUGGUGCAUAAAGAGCUUGCGCAAAUUGAAUUUACAUUGGCCUCAGACAGAGUUGAGACAAACACUACGGACUUUCGAGGAUAUGGAGUGGCGGUAUGACAUCCAGUUAUAUCCUUACGGAAUCUGAUGGAUUGAAUUGGGUGAGUUUUAAUCUUUUCUGAUAACUCAUAUUUUUAUAUGCAUUUUCUUUUUUUUCCCACUUUCUCAAUAGAUUUAUAUUUAUGGUAAAACCUUCAAGGAGGUCAUAAAAAUGCCAAACUAAUUGAGAUUGCUUCUGAUGUCAAAAUUAUGUCUCAGCAUAGACUCAGCUUGGGUGGCAAAACAGAGUGGGAUAGCCACACAUUGCAGCAGAGAAACAAAGAAAGAUCCCCCUUUUAUCAAUCUAAUAAGAACCGUAAAAGCAGAUUUUCAUUUAUUAUUCUUAUUUUCACUUACGUAGGCAAAAUUGGAGAGGGAAACAACGCCAGCCGGACUUUCAGUUUCAAUUUUAAUUCAGCAUUGAUUCAUGAGACAGGGCAUUGUUUUAUUUAGCAGAUUUCGAGGAUUUGCUAUAAACAUGCCAUGGUUGCAAUGUUGUCUACAAACUUGAACUUUUGCACUCCUUUUGCUAUUUUGAAUUUGCUGGUAUGUAUGUGUGUAUUCUGUUUUAAUAUAUAUAUAUAUAUUCUGUUUUAUGCUUAGAAGUAUUCCAUUUAAACCCCCGACUUGCAGGUAUGGUUUGCUAGUCAAAGAAAUAUCAAUUUUCUAGGAAAAAUUCCUCAUUUUAGUUGCUGAUUGCACGUUCAAUUUCGUUCUUAGAAUAUUCGUUCUCAUUAAAAUGAUGCACGCACUGAUGUUUUGAAUCAUAUCAGAGAAUCAUUUGUAUUUAUUGAGAGUCAAUUACAACUGAUGUAGCAGGAUUUUAGGUCAUAUGAGAACAAGCAUGUAGGAAAAAAUUCAUCUAGAAAAUUAGUGCAGCCGCACUUUCAAUCGAAUUGCUAUUAUGAACAACAAUUCAUGAGUAAAUCGUUGUUCAAACUACAGGUAGCUUAUACAAACUUAAAUGGCUUUUGAGUAGAAGCAAUGUCAACGCUAGGAAUUCAAUACAAAAGCAGUCAAGUUCAAGUAGUAAUAUGAUUUAAAAAACUCUCGAUAAGAUAACAAGUAUUAAAUUUUUAAAAUUUCAUUGAAAUAUUUUCAUACAAUCAAUUUAAUUGCGGCCGUCUUCCAAAUGUUUUCAUAUUUUAAAUUGUUGAAUCAUAAUCAACCUCUUUAUCAGCACCACAAAAAAUAUCAUUUCUAAUGCAAACAACUAGGUUAUUGCUUAUCAUUGUCUAAUAGAGCAUAUUAGCAGCUAUCAUAAAAAUAAAAAAAAAAAUUAUUGUCUGAUUUUAAGAUACUUUCAAGUUUGACCCCCUACCUCAAUUGUCAGAGAGGGGAAAAAAAGAGUAAAUAACAUGAAAAGAAAGUAUAUGAAGUCAAAAAAAAGGUUGGGAAUAAGUAAUAUACAAAUGUAAGGCUGCUUCGAUCACAUUUGAAGUUAAUGACAAGCAUAGCUCUUCAUAUUUAAGUAAAUAUAAAAUAGAAUAUUAGCUGUUGAAUAGAUUAUAAGCAUAGAUCUUGACUUUUGAAUUUAAUUACAGAAAUUUUGGUGGAUUGGUGAACAGAAGAAAUCCAUUCGUUCCACCAAUUACAUUGAGGAUUUUAAUGAAUCCCAAUCUCAGGUAACAUGUUAAUGCCAACAGUACUGGCAAGAUAUCAAAUGCGGGAGAUUCGAGACUAUUAGCUUUAAGAGAACCAAUAGAGACUGACAAGUUAGAAAUAACUUGCUAAGUUGAGAAGUACGACUGACAAAAUGAAUAUAGUGGGAAAAUCAAGAUAAGCUAAUAGUUUUCUGUUUCUGCAUCUCUCUUACCGUCUCUGUUAUAUUUGCUUUUAACAACUCAAAUAUUUAGGAUUUAUUUACCAAUUGUUAUUCUACGUCACAAAUACUCUGUUUUUUUUUUCUUUUUUCUUUAAUCGCUCUGUUUUAUACUUUUGACAUAUCUUUUAGGUCUUUAGUCUACCAAAUAAUCAUAAAUAAAGCAUAUAAAAUGUAUUUCUAAUUUCAGAAGGCAUCUAGGACUUUAUUCUCUGCUUUACUUCUAAAUUAAUUAGCCAAAGGAAGUUUGGCUUUCAGCAGAGCACUUUAAAAAGAAAAUGAGAAAUGAGUCAUCUUUAACUAUUAUGCUCAUCCUUAAUGUCUCCACGUUAACAAUUGUAAGGAAGUGAGGACUGUAAAUUUACUUUCUGUCUAUUUAUUCUUUUGAGAAUCGUUUGUAUUUAUUGAGAGUCAACAUACAUACACUUUGUAGUAUAGCCCAGAGAUCUGCGAUCCACUCCCACCAAUACUCGGAGAGAUAUCUAAUGCUAUCCAGAUUCAUAAAAAUGAGCCUCAUUAAAAGCCUAGUGGCGAUAUGAGUUUUUUUCCUCAAGAAAUGUUUCUGUAAAUUGCUUAAAUAUUGGUGGGGAUGCAUAAUUGUAACCCAGUUGAUUAAUUUCUAACACAACUGAUGUAGCAGGAUUUUGGGUCAUACGAGAACAAGCAUGUAGGAAAAACUUCAUCUAGAAAAUUAGUGCAGCCGCACUUUCAAUCAAAUUGCUAUUAUGAACAAGUAUUAAAUUUUUAAAAUUUCAUUGAAAUAUUUUCAUACAAUCAAUUUAAUUGCGGCCGUCUUCCAAAUGUUUUCAUAUUUUAAAUUGUUGAAUCAUAAUCAACCUCUUUAUCAGCACCACAAAAAAUAUCAUUUCUAAUGCAAACAACUAGGUUAUUGCUUAUCAUUGUCUAAUAGAGCAUAUUAGCAGCUAUCAUAAAAAUAAAAAAAAAAAUUAUUGUCUGAUUUUAAGAUACUUUCAAGUUUGACCCCCUACCUCAAUUGUCAGAGAGGGGAAAAAAAGAGUAAAUAACAUGAAAAGAAAGUAUAUGAAGUCAAAAAAAAGGUUGGGAAUAAGUAAUAUACAAAUGUAAGGCUGCUUCGAUCACAUUUGAAGUUAAUGACAAGCAUAGCUCUUCAUAUUUAAGUAAAUAUAAAAUAGAAUAUUAGCUGUUGAAUAGAUUAUAAGCAUAGAUCUUGACUUUUGAAUUUAAUUACAGAAAUUUUGGUGGAUUGGUGAACAGAAGAAAUCCAUUCGUUCCACCAAUUACAUUGAGGAUUUUAAUGAAUCCCAAUCUCAGGUAACAUGUUAAUGCCAACAGUACUGGCAAGAUAUCAAAUGCGGGAGAUUCGAGACUAUUAGCUUUAAGAGAACCAAUAGAGACUGACAAGUUAGAAAUAACUUGCUAAGUUGAGAAGUACGACUGACAAAAUGAAUAUAGUGGGAAAAUCAAGAUAAGCUAAUAGUUUUCUGUUUCUGCAUCUCUCUUACCGUCUCUGUUAUAUUUGCUUUUAACAACUCAAAUAUUUAGGAUUUAUUUACCAAUUGUUAUUCUACGUCACAAAUACUCUGUUUUUUUUUUCUUUUUUCUUUAAUCGCUCUGUUUUAUACUUUUGACAUAUCUUUUAGGUCUUUAGUCUACCAAAUAAUCAUAAAUAAAGCAUAUAAAAUGUAUUUCUAAUUUCAGAAGGCAUCUAGGACUUUAUUCUCUGCUUUACUUCUAAAUUAAUUAGCCAAAGGAAGUUUGGCUUUCAGCAGAGCACUUUAAAAAGAAAAUGAGAAAUGAGUCAUCUUUAACUAUUAUGCUCAUCCUUAAUGUCUCCACGUUAACAAUUGUAAGGAAGUGAGGACUGUAAAUUUACUUUCUGUCUAUUUAUUCUUUUGGCAUAUGUGCACGAAUAUAUAUGUCAGGAAAUUGAAUUGUAUGAUUUUCACGAUGACUCUUAAAUGCACGCAUCCAUAUCUUUCUAUUUUCAAAGAUGGUAAUGGAAAACUGUGUUACUCUCUCUUAACAUUACACUAAUUCUAAAAUACCUAAAAUGUAUAAAUAUAUCUAAUAUAGACUUACUAAGAAAUCAUGUGAGACAUUAAGGAUAUGUUUGGUACCUUUUUGGCAAACUGUUUUUCGUUUUACAAACAAAAAAUACAAAAUUGAAUAGUUCUUGGUUUUCCCUUUUUUUUCAUUAAGUUAGAGAACGUUAAAUUGACGUUUCUCUUAUCUUAUUUCUCAUCGGAUUCCCUCAAAAGUAAAAUUAAUUAUCGGAAAAAAAGACACUUAUACCUCUAGGAUUUAGACAAAUUGUCAUGCAGACCCUCAAAUUUUUAAAAAGAAAUGCCAAAAUUUUUUUUUUAACAGAUGGGGGCUGGAGCAAUGCCAAAACUUGAAAGCUUAAUUGUCAACCCAUGUCUGCUGUACGGCCAAGGCGGAUGUACGGUACAGCAUAAACAAAAUAUCUUCCUAUUAAUAAUAUUAAAAUUAUUUGUAUAAUAUUCAAAAUAAUUUAAACUUUAAUUGAUUUAUUGUAAUAUUAUGUUUCCAUUUAUUAUUAAAAUUACUUUAAUAUGAUAAAAUAUGUAUAACAGAUUGUAAAAUAUAAAAACAGUAUCUUGCUUGUCAACAAAUUUUUUUUUUUUACUCGAAAGCAAAAAUAAAAUUAUGCCAAUAUCAAUUCUUUGACAGAACAACCUUAGCUUUCUGAUGUUUAAUACUACUCUUUCUAAGCCCAAAAAUUCUAAAAUUUUUAAUUAAUUCUGUUACUGGGAUUGCGGCAGUAAUACCAUUGAAGGCAUUUUGAUAUUAAUUUUUUUUAAAGAAAAAUUCUUUAAAUUAAAAAAAGAAACAAUUGAAGAAAUCUGUUCUUCGAGAUUACCUAACAAACAAGAAGUACUUUAUUGUGCUUGAUGAUGUCUUCGAUGACAGUGAGUUAUGGGAUGAUCUGGAAGAACUUCUUCCUAAUAAUCAGAAUGGAAGCAGAGUAUUGAUAUUGGUUGCUGAUCUCGACCUCCUUGCGUCAUUGGAAAUGGAAAACGGAGAGAAGAUUCGGCUAAAUUCAGUGCUCGUUGGAGGACCAUUGAUCAGAUUAAAGCAUGAAGCCUGGCAAUUUUUCAUCCUACACUACGGAAGUGCGCCAUUAGAAAAUUUAUGGAUGAAAAAGUGGUUUUGACAUUUUGAGUCGAACUUGUUCUGUGUGGGAGUUAUCUUUUCACUUGAAAGCCUGCGGCAUCUAUCUGUGUGUCUUCCCUCCAAGCAUUAAGAUAUCUACCAGGCAGUUACGUCAGUUGUGGAUAGCUGAAGGUUUCAUACAAUACAACAGUGAAGAAACUGCCGAACACUACUUGAAAGAACUAAUCCAUCGCGGCUUCUUUCAAGUGAGUAAGAGAAGAGCCGGAGGCACAAUUAAAGCGUGUUAUGUUCCAAGUCUUGUAUAUUAUUCAUUGUUGUUGGUGGCAGAGAAGACGAGAUUUGUCUUGAUGCCUGACAAGGAAGAGGAAUCUUUGGCAAAUGUUAAACGGUGCUUCAUUUUGGAAGAUCUGAUUGAGUUCAUUUUUUUAGAACAGUCUGGCAUGUAUCUCCAGUCUUUUCUAAAUCACAGUUCAGAAAGCGAUCAUCUCGCUCUGAUAGAUUGCGAGAAUUUUUGUGAAAAGUUCAAAUACCUUCGGUUACUGAACUUGGGUUAUGCAGUUCUCGACCAAUUUCCACUCGGAUUAGAAAAUUUAAUCCUUUUGAAGCAUUUGAAAUUGAAUAUCCCUUCGCUCAAAUGCCUUCCUUCGCUGCUGUGCACUAUUUUAAACCUUCAAACACUAGAAAUGCCAUCUAGCUACGUAGAUCACUCGCUGGAGGAUAUUUGGAUGAUGCAAAAACUCAUGCAUCUAAACUUUGGUUCCAUCACUCUUCCCGCACCUCCAAAAAAUUAUUCUAGCUCUCUGAAAAAUCUCAUUUUCAUAUCAGCUUUAAACCCUAGUAGUUUUACUCCUGAUAUAUUGCGCAGACUACCUAAUGUUCAAACACUUCGGAUAUCUGGAGAUUUGAGUUGCUAUCACUCUGGGGUUUCCAAUAGCCUAUUGGGACUCCACAAACUUGAAUGCUUGAAGCUGGUGAAUGAGAGCAAGCUCUCACGGGUUGUCCUGUCUAAAUACCAGUUUCCUUUAAGUCUAAGCCAUCUGAGCUUAUCAAAUACUGAGCUAAUGCAGGAUCCCAUGCCAAUUAAUAUAUCAAGACUAGUUUGAAAAUCUACUUCUACUAAUAAUAAUAUUUAAGGAGAAAUUAGCUGUCACGUGGCUGCUGUGGAGUCCUAUUCAUCAGGGUAGUUGUUGUUAUAGUCAAAAUAAAUAUUUAGUUUUUAUUUACUUGUAGAAGUGGUCCACUACGUCAGCACUUGUUGCUAUCAUUUAGCUGUGUCUUUGUUAUUUUCUGUUCAAGUCUUUAUAUAAAUUCAUAGUCCAAAGAUUAAAAAAAAAAAAAAAAAAUUCAUAGUCCAAAGAUAAAAAAAAAAAAAAAAAAAGCAACAGAUUAAUUUUCUUCAAAGUUCAUCUAGUAUUGAAGGCCGUGGUCUUCCUCAAAAUAGACCAAGUUCAGUUGUUCGUUCUUUAUUUAGUUGACUACUACAAUAGGGAAACAAAAGAAAAUGAUCCUGAAAGGGCUUGAUUUGUUAUACAUACCAAUUACAAGGUCAGUUAUGUAGGCAUGUAACAAAAUAGUAUCAGAGCAAGGCAUGUAGGAAUCAUGAUUGAAAAGCUUAGAAACCGAAGUAAGCUCCUUGCAGCUUAAUUUAUAGUCAAAUUCAAAUCUUGAACAAUGGUCAUGAACGAAAGAAUAUCAUGAAAUGUGAUAAUCCAAACGAAGGUGCGAAUGGAUAUUGGUAUUAUGGGCUCUGCUUAGACUAUUUACACAUUUAAACAAUAAUCAUCACUAUUUUCGACCACUAUAUCUUCCGAAAAUAAUUUUUGCCAAAAGUCACCAUAUUUGUGAAUUAAAUCUAUUUUAAAAAUAGAUUUAAUCACCAUCAAUUUUGUCACGGUAAGAUAAAGUAGGGAUAGCUAAUAUAUAUAUUCUUUCUAAAAGUCAUGACUUUUCUCUAAACAUUAAUCAUAUUUUUUUUGAGAAAAGUGAGUAAUAAUAAUAUCGUCAGGAGUUUAGAUAAUGCUAUAUGAUCAACUGAUUUAAAAAAAAUACAAUUGAUAUAGCAGCGUCCUAGGUCAUAUGAGGACAAACAUGUAGGAAAGUUCAUCUAGAAAAUUAGUGCAUCCGCAGUUUCAAUCAAAUUGCUAUAUUGAGCAACAAUUAAUGAAUAAAUUUGUUAUUCAACCUAUAUGUAACUAACACAAAUUUUAAUGACCUUCACAUAGCAGCAGUGGAAGUACCCAAUUUUUGAGACUUCACUGAAAUAUUUUCAUUCAAUCAAUUUACAACCAUCUUCCAUAUGCUUUCAUAUUUUAAAAUGUUAAAUGUUAAUCUCACUAUCAACACCACAAAAAAUAUAUCAUUUUUAAUGAAGACAAUUAGGUUAUCAUUUCUAAUAGAGCAUCUUGAGCAGUUAGCUUAAAAAAAUUAAGCAAACUAUUGUAUGAUUUUUAAGAUAUUUUAAGUAAUUUUAUCAACUAUAAAAUCAUCACCUAGUUCAUUAUAAGUGACACAACAUUGGUCAAUGACACAUAACAUUGGAAUUUAAGUUGGUACUCAAUUGUUGGGAUCUCUAAUAUUAUUGGACAUGAUUUAAUGAUCAAAUUCAAAUUUUGCACCGGUGGCCAUGAAUGAAAGAAUAUCAUGAAAGGUGUUAAGAUGCACAUGGAUAUUGGUAUUAGGGAUUAUGUUUAGGAUAUCAAUUAUUCAUACAGAUUUACUCUACAAAAAAUCAUUCCAAAUUUCAUAAUUAUUUUCCCUCUUACUUAUUUCCGAAGUUAUUUUCUUCCUCUUCCUAACGUUUCUCUAAUUCUGAAUCCCUUAACGAUGAGGGGAAAAAGAUUAAGAAAGUCAAACUGAUUAAAGCUAAAUAAAUAAAUAUUAGAAUCCAAAUUUUCCGUGCCCAAAUUCCGUUGAAUAUGAAAUAUAUAAAAUUAGCAAAUUGACUACAUCAAAAAAUUAAAAAAAUCAAAAUUCAUCAUGUAAAAAUCUUAUUUAACUCCUAAUUUCAUUACAAAAUCGUUCACAAGUUAAUUGAUAUCAGUAUUAGGUGAUCAAAGCUCAAGCAUUUUUAAUAAGCAAAGCUCAAAAGAAUUUCAUAAGAAAUCACUUACCAAUGAAAAUCAAUGCAGAGAAACAAUUGAGCUAUUUUCCUAGAGGGUAUAACGAUGAUGACAAUGAGUAGAAUCACUUAAUUAACGUAUUGAAAUAGCAACUUAGUUCAGAUCUACAAUGCCACUUGCUAUAUGAAAACGUAUAUAAUCAUAAUUAAUUAGCGAAAUGUCAAGUUCUAUUUUGACUGUCUUGCUUGGGUCAGGGUUUCUGUAUUCUACCAUUUUGGCAAGAUAUUGGAUGGCAUAAUCAAGUCUGUGAUGCCUCCAUCUCAGGUUAGUGUAAUUAUCGGUGAAGAUUAUAAUACAUAUUCAAUUAUAACAAACGAUUAUUAAAUUACUCCCAUCGAAAGGAUUAGGUUUGUCAUUAUUGACAAUUAAAUUAACAAGAUUCUCAUUUUCUCUCACCGCAUGCAUUGCAAGUUGAAAAGAACAUUGACUUGAGAAAAUACUCUGAUGAUUAAAUUACUCCCAAUAAUCAGAAUGGAAGCAGAGUAUUGAUAUUGGUCACUGAUCCACACCUCCUUACGCUGUCGGAAAUGGAAAACGGAGAGAAGAUUCGGCUUGAUUCAGUGAAAGAUGUUAAGAAAAGAACAAAUGUUCAUCAAUUUAGACAAUAUAAUCAAACAACUAAAAUUUUUUUAGUGAAAUUUCUAUUUAUAAUACCUCUACUAACAAAAUAUCUACUUAAAUAAGUUCUACUAAGCUAUAUUAUUAUGAACCGUAUCGAUUAAAGCAAAUACCAUUGACUUGAGAAAGCACUUUUUGUGUUUCUUUAUAAGUGUGAACAUGUACCAAACAAACUCUUUAUAAAACCAAAAAAGUCUCUUGUUCUGUGUUGGAGUUACCUUUUCACUUGAAAGUCUGCUGCAUUUAUUUGUGUGUUUUCCCUCCAAGUAUUGAGAUAUCUACUAGGCAAUUAUAUCAGUUGUGGGAAGCUGAAGGCUUCAUACCAUACAACAGUGAGGAAACUGCCGAACAUCACUUAAAAGAACUAAUCCAUCGCGGCUUCAUUCAAGUGAGUAAGAGAAGCGCCGGAGGCACGAUUAAAGCGUGUUAUGUUCCAAGUUUUGUAUAUUAUUCAUUGGCUUUGGUGGCAGAGAAGACGGGAUUUGUCCGGACGCCUGACUUCGAAGAGGAAUCAAAUCACAGUUCAGAAAGCGAUCGUCUCGCUCGGAUAGAUUGCGAGAAUUUUUGUAAAAAGUUCAAAUACCUUCGGGUAUUGGACUUGGGUUCUGCAGUUCUCGACCAAUUUCCACCCGGAUUAGAAAAUUUAUUCCUUUUAAAGUAUUUGAAAUUGAAUAUCCCUUCGCUCAAAUGCCUUCCUUCGCAGCUAUGCACCCUUUUAAACCUUCAAACACUAGAAAUGCCAUCUAGCUACAUAGAUCAGUCACCAGAGGAUAUUUGGAUGAUGCAAAAACUCAUGCAUCUAAACUUCGGUUCCAUCACUCUGCCUGCACCGCCAACAAAUUAUUCCAGCUCUUUGAAGAAUCUCAUUUUCGUAUCAGCCUUACACCCUAUUAGUUGCACUCCAGAUAUAUUGGGCAGAUUACCAAAUAUUCAAACUCUUAGAAUAUCUGGAGAUUUGAGCUAUUAUCAAUCUAGGGUUUCCAAAAGCCUAUGCAAACUACAAAAACUUGAAUGGUUGAAGCUGGUGAAUGAAAGCAAGCCCUCACGAAUGGUCCUGUCUGAAUACCAGUUUCCUCCAAGUCUGACCCAUCUGAGCUUAUCAAAUACUGAGCUAAAGGAGGAUCCCAUGCCAACGCUAGAAAAGCUUCCAUACGUUCAAGUGCUGAAACUGAAGCAGAACUCCUAUUUAGGAAGAAAGCUGGCCUGCGUUGGCUCUGGUGGCUUUCCGGAACUUAAGGUUUUGCACCUGAAAUCAAUGUAUUGGCUAGAUGAGUGGACGAUGGGGGCUGGAGCAAUGCCAAAACUUGAAAGCUUAAUUGUCGACCCAUGUGCUUACUUGAGAAAGCUUCCAGAAGAGCUGUGGUGCAUACAGAGCUUGCGCAAAUUGGAUUUACAUUGGCCUCAGACAGAGUUGAGACAGAGGCUACGGACUUUCAAGGAUAUGGAGUGGCGGUAUGACAUCCAGUUAUAUCCUUAUGGAAUCU
This 49648-nucleotide long non-coding RNA is filed under the name Citrus sinensis (sweet orange). RNAcentral describes it as "long non-coding RNA (CSIN_LNC001144)". The record is from RNAcentral. Lineage: Eukaryota; Viridiplantae; Streptophyta; Magnoliopsida; Sapindales; Rutaceae.